This 52526-nucleotide long non-coding RNA is filed under the name Coffea arabica (coffee). RNAcentral describes it as "long non-coding RNA (CARA_LNC006618)". Lineage: Eukaryota; Viridiplantae; Streptophyta; Magnoliopsida; Gentianales; Rubiaceae. The record is from RNAcentral.
AUGUAGAUAACGAAAUAAUGCUUCUGGGGAAAAGAGAAUCACCAACAAGAAAUGGGUUUUUCCCGGGUUUAAAAUGGGUUUUGGGUGUGGUUGAAACGGGUGAACAACUGCAGCAACUCAUAAUGCUAUUCAGAUUUCAGUGCGUGUGGGUGUGCUUUUGGAGGGACCUCAGGGAAGUGUUGAGGGAUAAGAGCACCAGCACGAAGGGGACGACUGUUUGUUCAGUCUCCCAAUAGAUAAGAUGCUUCGUUUUUUCUAGUUUUCUGCCAAAAAAAAAAAAAAAUUCAAAAGUGACAUGGCAUAUGUGAAAUAAAAAAAAAUAUGACAUAAAAUAUUUUAAAAAAUUUACUAUGAAAACUCACAAUUCAAACGGGUUCUAAUAUUCUUCCUCCCUAAAAGGAGGAAGAUUGACUAUAGAAUUUAUUCAUGCAACAAUCUAUAUAUGUGCCGAUUUAAAAGUUAAUUUGAAGAAAAUAAAUUGUAGAAGAAAAAAAAGGUGUGAAUUUUAUUUUAGUUUAUUUCUUGGUUGUUAACUACGAUUUCAUAAAACUGGCGUCACAAUUGUUUAUGUAGUUUUUCAUUUCACAUUGAUAAUAUUUUUUGUCUGUUAUACAUACUUGUUAUUUGGCUUUAUAAAAAUAUUGAAAAUGUGUGCAAGAAAUCAUUUAGGCAGAGCAAAUAAUACUCCCCUAAUUUUUGUAUAAUUUUAUUGAGUAAAAGCCUUUAGGUUGUGCUUGGAUGAUAGAAAUUUUUUGGGUAGUGCAAUAUCAUUCCCCUAAAUUCUAUAUAUAAAUAAAUAAAAUAUUUCUUGGAUUAUUCAUGAAUAAUAAAUUAUGUAUUUGGCAUCAAAUUUUUAGGAACUUUUACUUCAUAAAGUGAUAUCAAAUCUUUGAUUGGAAUGUAAUUAUUAUAAACUUUUAAAUUUUACGAAAAGGGAGUAGAAAAAUUUAUGAGGCAAAGUAAAUAGAGGGAGUUUUACAAGCAUUAAAUGGUGAAUACGGUCUACAAAUAAAAAUUUCACACACUUAAAUAACUAAAAGUUAAUGUGGCCCGCCAGUUGCCAUUGCUUGAUAUAUUAACCUCACCAAUUGAAAGAAAGAUGUACAUACAUAAAAAAUCAAAGAGAAAAGUUCUAUGCGAUUUUAGAUUUUUCUAGUUAUCCGAUUGGGGUAAUGAACAAACUCAAUAUAUUGUUAACAAAUUUGAUGGCUCAUCAGUUUAAGAUCGACAACAUUUUGGAAUCUAAAGCAAACUUGAAUCAAAAAAAAUCUUACAGAAAGCACAUCUUGCAUGUGAAUAAUUUCAAACAAUAGAUUAAAACUGAAAUCUGGGUUUAAUGAGAAUUAUUCAAGUUAUUUCCUUGUAGCUCAUCCAUUUUUGCACUUAGUUUAAGCGUGAAUAUUUAAAUUUGAAACCUCUCAUGUACACUUUCUCCCCUAAACCAUCCAAUUCAUCUCCCUCCCAAAUAUAUUUUUUUGUUUGAUAAAUCACAAUGAUACGUAUGCUAAAUGUGAAAUUUUUAUUUGCCUUAGUUUAGAAAAAUAUUUGAUUUUUAUGGAUAAAAUAGAUAGUGCUCUAUUAAAGGUUUUUUCCCCUAAAAUUAUGACUAAGCAUAAACGAAAAAUGAACCAAACCAAGGUUCUAGUAUUCCAUUAGAUGCUAGAACUAAACAGGUCUAUCACGCGAAGGAACUAUAUAUUCCAAAGUUGCUUGAAAAAUUCGAUUUCAGAAUUUUUAAUCUGUUCAUAUUUCGGUGCAUAAACCAGAUUACUUGGUAACAGUUUUAUAAGCUUUUAUGAUUCAAUGAUGAAGAAUAAACCUUCAAUUCCGUAUAUGUGUGUGUAAUUAUCGACUUAUAUAAAUGAUCAUUGUUCUCAUGGAACAAUUUUUUUUGAUGGAAAAAAAUCGUCCAUCACAAUUUCCUUGACAAAAUUGGGAGAGAAAUUCAAUAGAGAUUUAGAAAGGUUAGCGGAUUUUGCAAAAUUAAUAAAGAAAGAAGCAAAAUGAUAAAUUGUUAAUUAAUGAAUCACAAAGACAUAAAUGAUACUCUGCUUGGACUAUGUAAGACUUUUGUGAUCAAAACUGUGCCUAUAUAUGCAUGUCACGAUAAUGAUCACAGAGUCAUCAACAAAAUAGUGCUAAGACUGUCAUAUCCCCAAAUGAAGCGGAAAACCAUACAUUUGAAUGUUGUCCUAAAUCCUCGCUUGAAUUUUCAACAAAAGAAACAAUGACGAAUAUAUGGUUUAGAAGGUCGCAGGAGUCAUCAAGAGAUGAAAUUUUCUUUCUUUCCCAUAAUUCUUGCUAUGCCAUUGUCUUGUUCUCCUUAGAAGCAGCUUCAGUUGUCUUCACCGUGGCAGAGGCGGAGCCGGCAAGGCCGAGGAAGAAGUGGUGGUACUGUUGGUGGUGGUGGUGGCGGCAUUGAACAUCAUCUACUCAGCUUCAGAACAAAAAUCAAAAUGCCUAACAAGAAUUUCUUGAACAAUCCACAAACUUAUUCUCUGGAUGGUAUUAUUAGUUCAAAAGAAGGGCAGAGUCAAAGCUGUUACCUGACCAAAGCAACCAUAGACCGUGGUGUAUGGACAGAUAUCAAUCCCUUGAACCAAAAGCUACCUAUGUUUGUUAUGCAACUCGUUAUUGUCACAUCCGUCACCCGCCUCCUCCUCGUGAUUGCAAAACCUCUCCGUCAGCCUCCUUUCGUGGCUGAGUUUUUGGUAAGUUUUAUGCCCUGGCUUUCAUCAGCUUUUCUCUUUCAGGUGGUUUAGGGGUUUUAAAGGGGUCGAUGUCUAAACGCUUCAUCACCUAAAAAAAAUUUGGAAAAAGGUUGUUGAGUCCUUUCCUCAACUAGGCAAAAGAAUUCUAUUUGAUUUGGGAGUUGAUUUACUCCAUUAAUUUGAACUGCAUAUAAGAUAUAGUCUGUCUUUGUCAAGUCAUCUCAUUUAUCUGUUUUGGCAUUAAGUUAAAAUUCAAAUAUGGAAUGCCAGACAAGUUUUUACAAAGUAAUUUCAUUUGCAGGCUGGUUUAUUGAUCGGGCCAUCUCUAACUUCUCAUAUUAGUGGUUUGCAAAAUUUCAUUUCGGAUACUAUAUUUGCUACCCCUCGGCUGAUGAUGAUGGAGACAGUUGCAGGUUUAGGCCUCAAUUACCACGUCUUCUUUCUUGGAUUAGAGAUGGACAUAACUGCAGUAACCAGAGUUGGACGCAAAGCUCUCAGCAUUGGCAUAUCAGGAUCUCUCUUCUCCUUCAUUGUUGGUGCUGCAUUCUACAUUUUUGGCGUCCCACAAUACCUUCAGAACUAUAAAAUGGGAUUCCUUUAUUGGGGUGUUGUUCUCUCGGUCACAGGCAUACAACCUGUUGGUGAUUUACUUGUAAAGCACAAACUCCUCCAGUCUGAAUUUGGAAGGGUAGCCAUGUCCUCAGCACUUGUGAAUGGUGUAAUUUCCUGGCUACUUCUCCUCAUCAGCUCUGCAAUAACUUGUAGUAAACAAUUGUUCUUCGUGUCACUGUUGAUGGCAGUUUUGUUAGCAGUCUUCUUUUGUUUCGUGGUCCGUCCAGCCAUUUUAUGGGUGAUUAAAGAAACUCAAGAAGGAGAAGAGUUCAGUGAGUCUACUGUCUGUGUUAUUCUCACAACGGUUUUGUUCUGUGGCUUAUUAACCGAUGUGUGUGGCCUUAGCUCCUUUUAUGGUGCAUUUAUGUUUGGACUAAUCAUUCCAAAAGAUGUUCUUGGGGAUAGAUUCUUAACUGUGCUUCAGGGUUUUGUCUCAGACCUAUUACUACCGCUUUUCUAUUGUAGUGUUGGAAUGAGAACUCAUCUUGAUAGCUCGACCAUCCAUGAUAAAAACGAUUGGACGUUGAUGUUGCAAGUGACUUUUCUGUCUUUUCUACCCAAGCUUAUUACCACUUUGGCUGUUUCCUACUUCUACAAGAUCCCCUUCAGAGAAGGAAUAGCGCUUGGUGUCCUUAUGAACGCCAAAGGCAUUCUUGCACCAAUGGCAUUGAAUUGGGGAUACGACCAUUUAGUAAUACCUCUCUUUUCCAAUUAGAUUAUGUUUGUUUUUGUGUUUGGGGGUACGCAGGUUGUGGGUGAAACUAGAACAGCAGAUACAAAUUUGCAUGUUUAAUAAAACCGUGCAUUUGCUGCUCAAGUUGAACCUGCAGUUUUUGUGGCCCCAAAUGCCUAUGAUGUUGUGUGUUCAAGUCUAAUUUCGUACCUAGUAUAAAUUUAUACUAUUAGAGUUUCAUGGCUUCAGAAUCUCUAUCUGAUCACUUCCAGUGCCAAUCUAUAUCCGACUCUAUUUUCUUGCCACUUAUUACUACACAUGCAAUAGAAUUGUGAAUAUACCGUGUAACAUAUUCACACUUGGCAAGAAAAUAGAGAACAGGAUAAGGAUUGGCAAAAGAAGUGUCAUAGAGGAUCUUGAGGCAUUUUAUAUGGUAAUUUUGCAUCCUAACUUUGUAUUCUGAAUCUGAAAAUCUGUCCAGGCUCUGAACCGACAGGGAUAUACCAUGAUGAUUUUGCCCAUUGCUCUGAUGACUGUUGUAGCAUCACCAAUACUGGGAUAUCUCUACAAACCAACAAAGCAUUUCUUACCAAGCAAGCACAGGACUCUUCAGAAAUUGAGGCCAGAUGCAGAGCUACGACUCCUAGCAUGCAUUCAUGAAUUACAGACUGUUCCAGGGAUCAUAACACUCCUUGAAGUUUCUAAUGCAACAAAAAGAUCUCCGAUUUUCUUGUUUGCCCUCCAACUGAUUCGAUUAGCCAAACACACCACAGCUUUGCUAAUUGAGCAUGGUCCUGGAGGUUUUGGCUCUCAAAGUAGCCGCAGCUUCGAUGGACAAACGGACCAAGUGAUUGCGGCCUUCGAGAAGUUAGAGGAAGCAAAUAACAUGUUCUCAGUUCAACCACUAACUGCCAUGUCUGAUUAUGGGUCGAUGCAUGAAGAUGUCUGCAGCAUUGCAGAAGACAAACGAGUCACCCUCAUACUUUUACCCUUUCACAAGCGUCAAACGAUCCACAACCAAAUGGAGGAUAUGAACCCUGCCUACAAAGACAUGAACGAUAAUAUACUAGCAAAUGCACCAUGUUCAGUUGGCAUUCUUGUCGAUCGUGGCAUUGGGAUCUCGUUCAGAAAAGAGGACGACAAUGAUGAUGGGACAAUUCGUAUUUGUAUGAUAUACAUUGGAGGAGAUGAUGACAGAGAGGCUCUGACCUACGCCUGGCGAAUGGCAGGGCAUCCGAGGGCAACACUAACAGUAAUUCAAUUUUCAGCCAGUGAAAGUGCAGCCAGCAAUAUAGAACCUCAUGAUUUUGCACAAGAUGGUGGUAAGGUUGCCUCAGCAACAGUGGAUAUUGCAACAGAAAAGCAGCUAGAUGCUGAUUUCAUUUCUGAUUUUAGGCAAAAAUCAGUAGAGAAAGAGAAGGUUACAUAUUUAGAAAAGGAAUCAAACAAUGGGGCAGAAACUGUUUCAAUCAUAAAAUCUUUGGCUGAAAGCUAUGAUUUAUUUGUGGUAGGAAGAGGACUUGGAAUGUCAUCCCCUCUAAAGUCAGGAUUAGAUGACUGGAGUGACUUCCCAGAAUUGGGAUCAAUUGGGGAUCUUCUCAUAUCAUCAGAUUUCCCGUCAACAACUUCUGUGUUGGUAGUGCAACAACAUGUUGAAAAGAAUCCCAAGAAAGGUCGCCAGUCCUCAUCAAUCACAAGUCGUGGGCAUAAAAGAUAGAAAAAGAUAUGGAUGAAGCUACUUGACUGAAAUUGAUUGAUUUCAGGUCAGCAUUAGGAUGGUAUAAGAUGGACUGGCUAGAAACACAUUAAAGAUAGUGUCUUUCCAAGAUGGACUGACUAGAAAUACAUUAAAGAUAGUGUCUCACCAAGUUCAAAUCCUUCUUUGUAUGAAAAUGGCUCUGUCCUAAGUGCUUGCAUAGGUCAAUGUAGGAUUCUAAACCAAGUCUAUUUCCUAUUCUUGUUAGGUUUAUUGUUUAGGAAACUUUUGGUGUUAGAUUACCAGUGUGAUUCGGUAAUCUAGUUCUUAUAGGAUUUGUUAGUUGAUGGUCUAUAUAGAAACCAUAUCCCUGGUUCGUUUGUGUAAGAAGUCCAACAAGUUCCGUUGCUUUGUUUCUUAUUUUCUGGCCUGAGGAAUUCUUUUGUCUUUCCUUGCAUUAUUGAAUUUGCAUUUUAACAAAGCCCUGCAGCUCGUUCCGAUUGCCGUCUUUGCCUGUUAGCUUUGUUCACUUAAUAAAAUAUUUUGGGGGCUUACGUCUUGGUAUUCAAAGCUAGGUUUAUUAAAAAGACAUGUAUGCAUCAACUGCAUCAACUACAUCAACUAAUAUUACUUGUGCAUUAUCAUAACUCACUAAGAAAAGAUCACAGGUUUUCGUAGAACUCAGAUGGAAAUCCAUUUGCUGUUCAGUAAGACAUUGCUGCAGAUGUUGAUGCAAGCACCAAGAGGCAAGGAAGUAUGGCGUUAUUUUAAAUCCGUUAGGCAAUUGAUGCUUCAAUAGUUGGAAAAAUUGCAAAUGCCAAGAUUGUAAAAUAAGCAUGGGAUAUUUUGCAGAAAACAUACAAAGAAGUUGAUAAAAUCUUGAAAAAUAAUCUACUGAUGUUGAAAAAGAAAUUUGAGUUGAUCACCAUGAAAAAAUAAAAACAACCAAGUUGAUCAACAUAAAAAAUGAGAUGGAGCUCAAUGGUCAUGAUUUUGGUGAUGGGGUGCUAAUAGAAAAAGCCAUUAAUACUUUAUCCACUAAAUUUGAUCAUGUGGUAACUAUGAUUUAGGAAACAAAAGAUCAUUCAAUUAUGACCAUUGAAGAAUUGCAGGGCUCAUUAAUUCUUCAUGAACAGAUAAUUAAUGGGAAGCUAGAAGCCGAUGUAGAGAAAGAAACGGUAGAAAAAGUGUUGUAGGUGCAGAUGGAUAAAUCCAAGGAGAAGGGUGAUGUUUCAAAUCAAUGGAACCAAAAUUUUAGAGGAAGAGGAAGAGGAAGAGGCUGUAGUAGAGGCAAUUUUAGAGGUCAAGGCGGAAAUAAUUUUUAACAACAAGGAGGUAACAAUAAUCCUAAUAGUGAAUAAGAAAAUAAUAAUAAUUCUCGCAAAUGUAAUAUUUAGUGCCAUAAUUGCAAAAAAUUAGAUCAUUGUAAAGUGUUGGUACAAUUUUGACAAUAAAGUUGGGCAUACCAAUAUAGCAGAGAAUAAUGGUGAAAAGAAUGUAACCAUUUUUUGUCUACCUCGAGGAUGGAAGAAAAUAAGAAGAAUAAUUGGUUUUCAAAUUCUGAUUAUAGUAGCCAUAUAUGUCGCGAUAAAAAAUAUAUUUAUUGAUUUGGAUGAAUCUUUCAUAUCCUUCAUUAAAUUUGGUAAUAAUGAAAGGAUGCCUAUGUUUGGGAAAGGAAAAAUUGGUAUUAUUUUGAAAAAACGGUAAAUCUAAUUUUAUUUCUCACAUUUUUAUGUGCCAAGCCUUUAUCAUAAUUUGUUGAGUGUUGGACAACUUUCUAAGAAGGGAUAUGAUUUGUGAUUUAAAUGUGGCAUUGAUACUAUCAAUGAUGAUUGUCUUGGAUAAAUAGCAAAGGUAUAUGUGAAUAUUAAUCGUCUAUAGCCUAUUUCUCUUAAUUGUCAUGAUUUACUUUGCUUUAGUUUUGUUGUAUUUGAUGAUAUUUGAUUGAUUGUGACACAUGCACUUUUAUCAAUUGAAUUUUGGGGUUUCGAGUUUUUUGGCCAAAAAGAAUGUGGCAUAUAGGCUGUUUUCUAUUAAUUUUUCUGCUAAGCACCACGGGUCUUGUAUUUUGGGGAAAAAAACAUUUUGGAAUAGCUGUUUUUGGGGGUGUUUUUGAAAAACUUUGCUAUAGCAGAGUUUUUAGAGUAUAUUUUGGAAUAUUUUUAGAAAAUAUUUUGGGAUAUUUAAGAGUUGAAGAGUUUCUAAAAUAUAUUUUGAGUUAUUUUUUAAAAUUUUAAAAAAAUUUAAACUAAUUUUUAGAUUACCUUUUAGAGUACUUUUUAAAAAAUUUUAUUGUAUUUGAAAAACACUCCAAAAACAGGGGAUCCAAACAGAGUUUACUUGGAGGACUGAUCAACCAAUGGAGUUGAUAUAUUCUAACAUGUGCUUAGUUGAGAUCCCUUCCAAUGAUGGUAGUAAAUAUUUUAUUUCAUUCAUUGAUAAUUUUAGUAGAAAAACUUGGAUAUAUUUUUUGAAGAAUAAAUAUGAUGCCUAUGAUAUUUUUAAGAGUUUUAAAGUGUCUAUUGAGAAGUAAAGUGGUCAUUUUAUUAAAAUUUUGAGAACUGACAGAGACACUGAGUUUACUAUUUGUUAUGAUAUUUUGGGUAAAGAAUUGGAUUAAGUACCAAUUGAUAGCCAAAUACACUUCUCAGCAAAAUGGAAUGGUGGAGAGCAAGAAUCAUUUAUCGUCAUUGACGAGGUUUUUACUUCACACCAAAUUUUAGAAACCUAAAUGCCUCAUUUUCUGCAAGUAUAUAGACCGCUUAUCGUUUAUAGGGGAUAUUAGGUAUCGAUUUUAUAGGAAAAAUUUUCAAUUACCAGUGGUUUAGUGGUUUUCAAACUUCUCUAUUAUUAAGACUAUCAUAAAUAAAAUAAGUAAAUCUACACUAUCAACAUGCAACAAAAGUAUUAAAGUAACAAGAAAGAGGUUCCUAAAAUUACGGAAUUCCUAAUUACUCUUGCAAGUAAAAAUUACCGGUUAAUUAAGUUUAUUUACCUUAACUAAAUAUGGCAUAAUUUUCAAAUGUACCUGAUUUAUGCUUUCACAAAUAUACCAAUCACAUCUAUUAUAACUACUAUGUGCCUACUAACAUGAUAUGAGACUAACCACACUUAUAGGAUUUGAGUUGUUUAUACGGUGGGUAAUAUGUUAAGAAAAACAAGAAUACUAAAUAGCUUGGGAGAAGAGAAAAGUAAGAAAAGAGCUAUUCUUUCAUUCGCUCAAAUGAAACAUCAGUUUUCUAUGACUUAGAUAUAAAGAGGGUAAUCCCUAUUUAUAGGGGAAAGUACACCAACUAAUUUCUUUAAGAUGGUGAUAUAAUCUUUUCAUAAGUUAUGAUAACUUUAUCGAUGGUCGUGUCAAUUUUAUCAAAAGUCAUGCCAACUUAUCACCUCGAAAGUCAUGAUAACUUUAUCGUCUCGAAUAACAUGAAAGAAAGGUUUGUCACUAUAUCGGAGAUAAGAUAAAUGUGAUAGAUAUCCAUAAUAUUUAAUUAUUUCAUAACAAUUCCCUUUAGAUGUCUAUUACACAAAGAAUAUGCUGCAUUAAAACCUUAUUAGGAAAAAAAUUAGUGGAAAAAAACCCUAAUGAAAGAAAAAGAGUGCAUUAUUCUUGUGUUUAAAUUUCUCCCCCAGAUUCAAAUAUCAUUUGAGAUCUUUUAACCGAUGCAUUUCAAUAUUCUUCACUAAUUUUUCAAACGUUGCAGUAAGCAAUAUCUUGAUAAAUAAAUCUGCUAGAUUAUUGCUAAAUUGGAUAUGUUGCACAUAAAUUUCAACCAUUUUAAUGUCGUCUUAUAGGAGAGGAAGUAAAUCUUGCUAAUAGAUUUGUAGUAAAUGAUAUAUCUGAUCUUGUACAAUUAGCAAGAUACAUUAGUGCACCCAUUGCACUAAAAUAUGGUACUUCAAGACCAAGAAUCUCUUUAUCUUCCUCUUUUGGUCUAAAAGAAUUCUUAUCCAGAUAAAAAAACCUGACGACCAUUAGAGUACUUAAUAGAUGUACUUUAUCUAUAGAAAACCGCUUUAAUACCUUCGGGGUAUAAACAACUUGGUGGACAAAAAUUUCACCUUCUAAAUUCUCAAUUUGUAAACCAAGGCAAAUUUUAGUCUUUCCAAAAUCCUUGAUCUCAAAUUCUUUUUUCAAUUACUCGACAGUCUUUUGGAGCUCUUCAGGUGUUCUAAUUAAAUUAAGAUCAUCGACAUAUACUAUAAUAAUUACAAAAUUUGACACAUUUUUCUUUAUAAAAAACACAUGGAUAUAUUGGGUCAUUGAUAUAACUUGCUUUAAUUAACCAUUCACUGAGACGGUCAUACCACAUACGUCUAAAUUAUUUAAACCCAUAUAAAGAUCUUUGCAAUUUAAUAGAAUAAAUAUCUUUGGAAUUUGAUUUACAUGCUUCAGGUAUAUUAAAUCCUUCAGGGAUUUUCAUGUAUAUAUUGUUAUUAAGAUUUUCAUAUAAAUAAAUAGUGACUAUGUCCAUUAGAUACAAAUCUAGUUGUUCAUGCACUACUAAACUCACAAGAUAUUUGAAUGUAAUCGCAUCCAGUACUGACAGGUUGUCGAAACCUGUACAAUAAUAAAAUAAAUCUAAUUGCCAGUUAAGGUAACCAAAACCCGAUUCCAAGUACUAGAGCAGGGACUCUAGGUGUGCAAUAGGUUACUUGAUUCACCCUGUUCCCGAAGAGUUUGCUUGAUCCGAUAUACCCAAAUGGGAUGGCUUUUUUCACAAAUAAUUAUGAAUUUGUAGAUAGGGCAAGUAGGGUCGUAUCCUCAUAUACUGGGGAUAUUUGUCUCUUUAGAAAUCCAAAGUAACACAGGGGGUGUUUUUGUAUAAAAGAUGACAAUUAAAACAAUUCAACUAAGAAUAAAAGAGCCAACUAAAAAUUAAAUGACAAUUCACUAAAAUCAAGGUAAUAAUAAUUAAAGGUCUAGCCAAGAAAUAACUUCAGCAAUGUUUCACCUAAUUGAUCAUCGAUGCAAAGGCAAUUCCAAUUAUUUACUAAUAAAUAGGUUAUAACUGCCAAACAAGCGAUGACAGUCAACCCCUCCUUACUGUGUCGAUGAUUAAGGUACGCCCAUUAAUCACUGCUCUAAUUGAGAAUAAUCCUAGGUACGCCCGUAAGAUUUAAUUCCCCAAUUGCCUUACGUAUUAGAGGAGCCCUAUUCUAACCAAAUAACGCACUACCAGGGUUAUUUUAGAUUUGCCCGCGUAUUCCACUGACACAAAUCCAAUCAUGCCAGCUGUCACUAUUUCAGAGCAAUUAAACAAUUACGGAUUUAAUGCCCUAAUUGACAAUAGGUUACUAAAUUAACUAAUUAUCCGGAUCCAAAACAAUCAAUUAAUUGAACAAUCAUAAGCACUGUAAUAAGAGAAUAUGCGAAUAUUAAUAAAUAAAAGGAAAAGAUAAAAUUAAAUCGAUCUCACAAUUUUUAGGCGAACCAAAGCCUCCAUUGUUUCUUGACUAGAAAAGGGGAUUUUAGUUCAUCCCUGACAAGAAGAACCCACACAAAAUUGCAGCAAUAGUUGCGGCCAUUGUCUCCGUGAUUGGCUAAAUUCAAUUCGGAGAAAUCAAGAAAAAAGGCAAGCUACAGGAACUAAUUCAAUGUCUUCAUUUGGUCUUGACAUACGAAUAAUGGAACCACAAGAAGACGAAACGGAAAAGUCAAAAGCUAAACUACCAAGUCAUCUGCUAGUUGUCUCCUAUUUCUAAUUUCUAUCUAAUGCCUCCUGUGCGGCGUCCACUACAGAGGAAGAAAAGAGAGAGCGUCCCCCCCUAGCGGAAUAGAAGACUUCAGCCUUUUCAUCCUUUUUUCCAAGCUCUCUUCCGCCAAAUUACCAAAAAGGGGUGGGGUCACGUCUUGACGUUCCAAAAAUGCCCUGUUACUUGAACUCUUUCCUGAUAAUUGCUAAAUUGGCAUUUGUUAUGGUAUUUUCGUUCUACUCCUUGAAAUAAAUGCAAAUUGUCAAAAGUGAGUAGAAUCUAACAAUUAAUCCACAACAGGUCAGGUAAUAGGGGAAAUUAAUAAUAAAAUAAAUGAUAAAAUUGCAACCUAUCAAUUCCCCCCACACCUAAACCAUGUUUGCCCUCAAGCAUGAGAACAGCAAACAAGCACCAAUAUUUGACAAUGGUCAUUGCUCCAACUACCAUAUUACCAAGAUACCAAGAAAAACAUAUAUCAAGCAUCAGUGAUCAAUACCCAAGAAACAUCACCCCGGUUAGCUUCUAAACCACAAACUCCUUCAAUUCUAGGUUAACUAAUCUAAGAAAAAGGAAUGACACACAACAUUUAUCAGCAAAUGGUCCAAUUAUUAACCAAAAUCUCAACAUUAAAUCCACAAAUCGGCAAGCUGACUUUUAUCACACACUAACACAACUUUCACUUCUUCUUUUUUUGUUAUUUAUUUAUUUAUUUAUCUUUUUUUUUUCAAUAGCACAAAAGACUUAGUCUCUAGCCAUCAGAGCCUUUUGACGCGAAUUUCAAUAUUUGCCAGAUGAAGGAGCCUGGUUACUCAGCUCCUAUCGCUAUACGACCACGUACUCAUAUAAAUUACUAUUUUUUGACGCGAGAAUCGACACUUUAGGUGAAGAUCUCCGGUUACUCAAUAGUACCAAAUAGCGGAGUACAGUCAACUUUAUUUCAUAGCCAGAUAACACAAUAUCUCAAUAUAACACAAAAACUAAAAGAAAAUUUACAUCAGCUAGUCCCAUUUUCAAACAUGGAGAACUAAGGUUAAUAACCGGACCAAUUCACAUGAAAAUGCCAACAAUCAUUCCCUAUGCCUAGGAAAGUUAACCAAAAAUUAUAAGAGUAAAACAAUCAUCGAUAUUCACCAAAGAGAUAUUCUUGGACUCAACCACAUUAACUUGAUACACUUUUAUUAUUAAAACUUGGCAAUAGCUGAAUUAGAGUCAACAAUCUAACAUUAAACUGUGGUAUUCAUAAAAAAAAGAAAGUAAACUAAGACUAGACAAAUAGGAAACUAAAAAUAAAAGAAGAACAUCUGAAAACUAAAAACUAGAAAAACUAGCACAGCUAUCUCUCCCCCCACACCUAGAUCCUGCAUUGUCCUCAAUGGAGGAAAUAAAGCAAUUGAAGCGAAGAGGACAACGAAACUUUCCUCUCGAGUGGCUAAGGGGUAUUUGGCAGCUGCGGAGGGAAACCAACGUGGUGAAGGUACGAGGCCAGGUUCUGAGACAUCCUUGCCACUUGGCGGGCGAUGUUCGUCAUUCGCUCAUCUACGUCGGGAACCUGUGCUUGUAAGUGGCGCCACUCACCAUUUUCGCCAAUUAUCACCCCAAACAACAAAAGACAAAAUAUCCAACAAAGAUAGCAACCAACAAAUGCAAAUCCAUAGUCACUGGUGUUCCCUAACUCAAUAGUCAAAUGCAAAAGUUGUCCACUCAAUUACUCAAUACAUGUCCCCAAUGGUACAGUUAACUGCACAAUUCAAUCAACCAAAAUCGUAGCAAAUGCCCCAAGAAUUUGACACUUCCAGCAGCAGCAGUUCAGAGAUUUGACAAUAACAAUUCAGUCACAAGUUCUUAGCCGUCAAUUAGAUAGCCAAUCAGAUAGAAUUACCAAAUCUAGUCAAAAUACCCCAACCAGUACCACUGGUGCACCCCACAGAUAAUGAAGCAACUUAAAUGGCAAACCCAAUCAACAAAAUGUACACGUGAGGCACCCAAGGCCUAUACAAAUGUCCCAACAAAGCAGCAAUUUCAAUCAAUAAUCAGUGGUGGUCCCAAUUUAGUCAAAUGCAGAAUCAAUGCAGCCCAACAAUUCAACUGGAUGUACCCAACCUCAACAAGCAAAGCAAGUGGCACAGUAGCCUCUCAAUUCAACAAACGAAUGCAGAAAUUAUUCAACCAGAGAACCAAAAAAUAUCCAAAUAAUAUAACCGUACAAUUGAGGGGUCAAAAGCCUCCAAAAAGUGGUGUAACCCAGGAAAUUAAAUCCCAAUAGAGCAAACAAGCCUGCCAAAAAUGCUACUGACAAAAUGGGAGAAGAAAAACUGGAGUACCUCUACCCCUGGGACUGCAGUAGGUGGUGGCGGAAGGAACUGCGGCGACGGCGACUCCAUGCGUUGCUGAAGCGUGGCUGGUGUCGCGCAUGCGUGGCGUGAGAGCGAGGCGGCGGUGCUCGUGGACGGCCGGGUGCUUGCGGGGAAGAGAAGAAAGAGUGGUCGUUCGAGGUAGUGGUAGUCGUCGGCGCCGAGAGGAGCUGCGCAACAGCGCACGCUGAAGGGUCGCGCGGCUAGGGGAGGUUGGCGGCGGAGCAAGGUGCGAAGUGGAGAUGGCAGCGGAUGUUAGGCUUUAUGGGUUUCGGCCAGGAGAAGAGAAACAGGGGAGAAGAAAGAAAAGAAGAAGAAAGAAGAAGAAAGAAAGAAAGAAAAGAAGGGGCAAAAAAAGAAGAGAAAAGGAAAAAUAAAAUAAUUUUUGGUUUUUUUUUUGGGUUUUUUAUAUAUAUAUUUUUUAACUUUUCUUUGGAAUUUUUUUUUUUAAUCUUAUUUUCCUUUUCUCAAUAUUAUGAAUAAAAUUCACUUUUGAAAUUCAAAAUUAGAGAUUAACAGGAAAGCGAAAAUUUUUCUCGAGCUUUGAAUAUUUACCUUUCCCGCGAACAUGAUGCGGGCAUGUCAUGAAGGCACGAAGUGAAGAGCUUCCUAGGUGACUUGACGCGGGCGCGUCAUGAGGGUCAGAACCCUUCUGACGAUGAGUUCUCUGGAUGACUUGACGCGAGCACGUCAAGGGGAUCGAAACCCUUUUUACUAAGCACCAGGAAGUCGAAAUGUGCCACGCGCCCAGUUGACGCGGGCGCGUCAUGUCAGAUAGAUACUUACGGAUCAUCAAAAACGAAAAUUGAAACCAGAAAUCAGUCAAACUCAAGAAAAACAUAUUUAAACGAACAAACAAAAACGAACAAAUAACUAAAAGAAAUUGGGCUGCCUCCCAAUGAGCGCCUUUCUUUAACGUCUUUGGCUAGACAUUGUCAUGUUUGUUCAUGAGGAUAAAAUCUUGUGACUCGUUUUAAUGAUUCAUCCUCUAUAUAGUCCUGAUAACCCUCGUAAAUAGAGUAAUCCUUGAACACACGAGCUACGGUUUUCCAUGGACUAGUAAAUGGCACCAAACAGGUCAACGAUAAUUUGAAUUCUCCAUUCACUCCUCCCUCACAUGCAUUUAUUGGUCCAAGAUAUCUUGCCAUCGCCACUCUUAAUUUAUUCCUGUCAUGAAAUUUAAGAUUUUCUAGUAUAAUAAAGUCAAUUUCAUUAACAGGAAUUGAAGAACAAGAGUCAAGAGAACAUUGAUUAAGGAAUGAAGGAGAUGUCACCGUAUUUGGAGGUUGUUCACUAGAUUCAUUCACUUGGACGAGUUGAUAUUGGGGGCUCAUUUUUUGCACAUCAACUUCCUUUUCAACUGCAUCUUUAGAUUCGUUUCCUUGAAACUCUUGUAGUUCCAUGUCAUUUGGCCGGAUAAUUGUACUCUCAUCUUCCUUAAGGUUGAUGUUGGUCUGUGAGAGCAAUUUUUCAUAAAUGUGAGAAGCCAAUUGCGUUAUCUUGGAUGUCAAUAGAUGCACUUGAUCCGCCAUUCCGGAUGUCAAUAGUUGCACUUGAUCCGCCAUGUUACGAAUACUCGUUUGUGUCUCCUGAUGAAAUCGAUAUGUAUUAGCAGCUAGUAAUUCAAUCAUUCCUUCAAGAGACAUACCUGACAUGGAUGAUGGUUGUUGAGAUUCUUGCUGUUGAAAAUCCAUUGGCCUGGUCGCAUAAUUAAAAUUGGAAUUAUCCCACCAUCCUUGAUCAUACCUGUUUGGGUAAGGGUCAUACCACGUUUGAAAUCGAGGUGAAAAAUCUUCAAAGUAUCAAUUGGAGCACUUAGAUUAUCUUGAAAUGCUGGACAUGUAUCGGUUGAAUAACCUGAGGCAAAAUAAGUUCCACAAUUUGCAACAGCCCAUUGAUCAUUAGGAAAAACACGAGUCUCAUAACCCCAUUCAGAAAUAAAGUCCAGUCUAUCAUCAAAAUACGGAAUGUUAGCAGUCAUAAACUAUAUAAAAAAAUAAGGGAAAAAUAAAUAAAAAAAUGAAAACAAGAUGAACUCAAAAAGAAACAAAUUAAUCUAGCACCAGUCCCCGACAACGGCGCCAAAAAUUGACAGGUUGUCAGCGCCUGUACAAUAAUAAAAUAAACCUAAUUGCCAGUUAAGAUAACCAAAACUCGAUUCCAAGUAUUGGAGUAGGGACUGUAGGUGUGCAAUGGGUUACUUAAUUCACCAUGUUCCCGAAGAGUUUACUUGAUCCGAUAUACCCAAAUGGGAUGGCUUUUUUCACAAAUAAUUAUGAAUUUGUAGACAGGGCAAGUAGAGUCGUAUCCUCAGGGACUGGGGAUAUUUGUCUUUUUAGAAAUCCAAAGUAACACAGGGGGUAUUUUUGUAUAAAAGAUGACAAUUAAAACAAUUCAACUAAGAAUAAAAGAGCCAACUAAAAAUUAAAUGACAAUUCACUAAAAUCAAGGUAACUCUAGGUGUGCAAUGGGUUACUUCAUUCACCCUAUUCCCGAAGAGUUUGCUUGAUCUGAUAUACCCGAAUGGGAUGGAUUUUUUUCACAAAUAAUUAUGAAUUUGUAGACAGGGCAAGUAGGGUCGUAUCCUCAGGGACUGGGAAUAUUUGUCUCUUUAGAAAUCUAAAGUAACACAGGGGGUGUUUUUAUAAAUGGUGGCAAUUAAAACAAUUCAACUAAGAAUAAAAGAGCCAACUAAAAAUUAAAUGACAAUUCACUAAAAUCAAGGUAAUAAUAAUUAAGGGUCUAACCAAGAAAUAACUUCAGCAAUGGUUCACCUAAUGAUCAUCGAUGCAAAGGAAAUUCCAAUUAUUUACUAAUAAAUAGGUUAUAACUGCCAAACAAGCGAUGACAGUCAAUCUCUCCUUAUUGUGUCGAUGAUUAAGGUACGCCCGUUAAUCACUGUUCUAAUUGAGAAAUAAUUCUAGGUACGCCCGUAAGAUUUAUUUCCCCAAUUGCUUUACGUAUUAAAGGAGUAAUAAUAAUUAAAGGUCUAGCCAAGAAAUAACUUCAGCAAUGGUUCACCUAAUUGAUCAUCGAUGCACUAGCAAUUUCAAUUAUUUAUUAAUAAAUAGGUUAUAACGGACAAACAAGCGAUGACAGUCAACCCCUCCUUACUGUGUCGAUGAUUAAGGUACGCCCGUUAAUCACUGUUCUAAUUGAGAAAUAAUCUUAGGUACGCCCGUAAGAUUUAAUUUGCCAAUUGUCUUACGUAUUAGAGGAGCCCUAUUCUAACCAAAUAGCGCACUACCAGGGUUAUUUUAGAUUAGGCCGCAUAUUCCCCUGACAUAAAUCCAAUCAUGCCAGUUGUCACUAUUUCAGAGCAAUUAAAUAAUUACGGAUUUAAUUCCCUAAUUGACAAUAGGUUACUAAAUUAACUAAUUAUCCGGAUCCAGGACAAUUAAUUAAUUGAACAAUCAUAAGCACUGUAAUCAGAGAAUAUGCGAAUACUAAUAAAUAAAAGGAAAAGAUAAUAUUAAAUCGAUCUCACAAUUUUUAGGCGAACCAAAACCUCCAUUGUUUCUUGACUAGAAAAGGGGAUUUUAGUUCAUCCCUGACAAGAAAGACCCACACAAAAUUGCAGCAAUAGUUGCAGCCAUUGUCUCCGUGAUUGGCUAAAUUCAAUUCGGAGAAAUCAAGAAAAAAGGCAAGCUACAGGAACUAAUUCAAUGUCUUCACUUGGUCUUGACAUACGAAUAAUGGAACCACAAGAAGACGAAACGGAAAAGUCAAAAGCUAAACUACCAAGUCAUCUGCUAGUUGUCUCCUAUUUCUAAUUUCUAUCUAAUGCCUCCUGUGCGGCGUCCCCUACAGAGGAAGAAAGGAGAGAGCGUCCCCCCCUAGCGGAAUAGAAGACUUCAGCCUUUUCGUCCUUUUUUCCAUACUGUCUUCGGCCAAAUUACCAAAAAGGGGUCGCGUCUUGACGUUCCAAAAAUGCCCCUGCUACUUGAACUCUUUCCUGAUGAUUGCCAAAUUGGCACUUGUUAUGGUAUUUUCGUUCUACUCCCUAAAAUAAAUGCAAAUUACCAAAAGUGAGUAGAAUCUAAUAAUUAAUCCACAUCAGGUCAGGUAAUAGGGGAAAUUAAUAAUUAAAUAAAUGAUAAAAUUACAACCUAUCAAGUACAAUUGAAUACGUCUAGCAAAUUAUUUCUAGGAUUAAAGCUCCAUUAUGUCAUCUGGUGCAGAAAUAUUGCUCAGGAACAAACUCGAACUCAAGCUUCGACUUCGAGUUUGAGUUGGACUCUGGCUCGCCAUGUUAUCUUGACCAACUUUGGGCUUGUUAUUAUGCUGGUGAAUGGUGUUGGAUUCUUAAUCCAACAUUGGAAUUAAAUGUGAAUAAUUAUGUGUUGCUGACUAUCAAAUAAGAUUAAAUCCAAUCAAAGUGAUCAAUUAUGAUUUGGGGUUUAAUAUAUCUAAUAGGAUAUGAGUUUUUAAUGUGUAGAGAUUUAAGAAUAAUUUCUAUUUUUAUGACACGUUGAAAUAGGAAUUCAAAAGGUAACAGGAUAGUUAUCUUUAAAUAGGAUUAUAGUCCCUAGGUCAUACAUAUUCUUAUUGUCAUAUUUUUAGUACCACAAAAUAGUUCUUUUCUAAUAUCCCAUUGUCAGAAAAGAUACUAGAGAGAAAUUAAAUGAUUCCCUUAAGGAAUUAGCAAAUACGUGUUGAUUUGGAAGGCCACUUCAAAAUAUGGUUGAUUAUUGAGAAAUAGUUUGGAUUUAGGAAUAUUAAUGAUUGUACAACUGUUGACAACCUUGAAUUGUAGGUUUAAUGUUUUUGGUGAAGACACUGUCCAAUUCAUGUGGUGAUUUAUGCUUGACUUUUGGUUUCGAAAAGUUGUUCGUCUUUUUCCUAUUUCAAUAGAAAGCCAUGCAAGUAUGUUCAUUGAUUGUUUACUAUUGUUUCAUGAUACAGAUCUUGUGUCUUGACAAUCAUUGUAGAGCCCGCAUGAUAUGUAACUUAUUAAUAUGUUAAGGCACAAGUAUUAAUAGUUAUUUUCUUUGGCAUAUUUCUUUGUUUAAGUAUAAAUAUGCAUACAUUUAUGUUAAAAAAAAAUUAGGAUUUCUCUAAUUUGAAUGAACCAUAAUAAAGUUAAAUAAAACAUUUCAACCUUACAAAAUUCAUAAGGUUGGCCCACUAAGUAUAUAGUCUUAUAAGGCAUUUAUGGAUUUCAAAAAAAUUUUGAAUUUGAAUCAAAUGAUGGAUAUGGACUUUUAGUCCAAUAAGUCUUGACCCAUUUGACUAGUUUGACCAAAUUUGACUAGUUUGACCAUGUUUGACCAUGUUUGACCAGGUUUUGAUCAGAGUUGAUCAAAGUUGACUUUGAUCAAAAUUUUUGUGUAAUUUAUGUAAUUUUAAAUUUAAAUAUUGGUAUGAUUAUAUAUAUUUUGAAAUAAAUUAAUUGAAACAAUAUGCUACCAAAGUGACCUCUUUUGUAAAAAUUAAUUUAUUUCAGAAUAUAACUAGUUGGAUACUUGUAAUUUUGUGAAUAUUAAUCGAUCCAAAAGAAAAUUAAUGUUUAACAAAAUUGCAUGUGUACUUGUGGUAAUAAACUCGUGAUGAUUAUUCAUAUUUUUACAUGUGAAUUAUAAAUUGGUCCAAAGAAAAAUUUAUUUUUUGACAUGUUAUUAUUGUAAGUGUUUAUUACUGUUUCAAGAUAUCAUUUAGAAGCUAAUAUUUUUGUCCAAAAAUAAAAUAUUAAUGGAAUAUCGGUAUCUUAAAAUGGGGUUACCUUUAUUUGAAUUUAUUAUUAAUUUGGUCUAUAUGAACUUGUUUUAAUUAUUUCAUGUUUUCUAUUCAGUUGUGAAUAAUCUUACAAAUAUUACUACCAACAUCAUAAUAUUCCUAUGUUGAAUGGCACAAAUUUCAAGUUUUGGAAAGAAAACCUCCGAUAGUACUUAAAGUAAUGAAUCUCGAUCUUGCAUUAUGGGUUGACUCUCAUCCACCUCUUACAGAUCAGAGUACCUCUGAUGAAAAGAGAGAUAAAGAAAGGUGGGAGAGAUUAAAUCGCUUAUGUUUGGUGAUCAUUAAAGAAGCUGUUCCAAAAGCAUUCAGAGGAACAAUGUUAAAAACGACAGUUAUUGCUAACGAGUUUCUUUAAGACAUUAAAAAAAGAUUUAUCAAGAACGAAAAGGUUGAAUAAGUACGCUUUUGACAUUUCUGGUUUCUAUGAAAUAUAGUGGUAAAGAUAAUAUCAAAAACCAUAUCAUGAAGAUGUCUCAUCUUGUUUUGAAAUUAAAUGCACUUAAUUUAAUAUUCUCUGAAGAGUUACUAGUGCAUUUGAUUUUGAUAUCUUUUCUUGCACAAUUUAGCCAAUUUAAGGUAAGUUACAACGGUCAAAAGGAAACUUGAUCUUUAAAUGAACUCAUCUCACACUGUGUAGAGAAAGAAAAAAUGUUGAAAUAAGAUCAGACAGAAAGUGCGCAUCUAAUUUCAACUACUACUAAUAAAAGUAAGAGACAUCAACAAAAAAGAAGAAUAAAAAAAGCUGCAAGUACGGCACCUCAAGAAAAAAAAAAAAAAUUGACAAAUUCGGAAAAGAAUAGUUAUUUUUUCUGUAGAGAUGAAGGACAUAAAAAAAGUAUUGUACCAACUAUCACGCUUGACAUGCUAAGAAAGGUAUGUUUCUUAAUUUAGUUUAUUUUGAGAUUAAUUUAAAUUCGGUACCUAAACACAAAUAGUGAUUAGAUUCUGGUGCAACAAUUCACAACAAUGUGUUUAUGCAGAAUUGCCUAAAUUCCAGAAAGUCUAAUGAUAAUGAAAGAUAUAUCUACAUAGGCGAUGACAAAAUAGUUUAACUUAAGGCAAUAGGAGUUUUUAGAUUAUUGUUAAUGAUCAGAUUUUAUUUGAAUUUUAAUGAAAUAUUUAUUGUACCAUCUUUUCGACUGAAUUUGAUUUCUAUUUCUGUUUUAGACAAAUUUGAUUCUUUUGUUCAUUUGAAAAUGAGAAGUUUAAAUUGUUUCAUGAUUCAAAAUUGAUUGAUUCUAAUUCUUUAUUGUACUACGAUAAUCUAUAUUUAAUUAAUACAAUUGUAUCAUUUAAUGAAUCUCUGCAUUUGAGUACUAGAGAAGAAAAAAAAAACUAAUGAAAUUUUAGUUACAUUAUGGCACAAGAGAGUAGGUCACAUCUUUAGAUGAAGAAUAAAAAAACUUGUGUCAUAUGAAAUUUUUGACCUCUUAAAUUUUGCAGAUUUUGAUAAUUGUGUUAACUGUAUAAAUGGAAAACAAAUCAAUAAAAGAAAAUUUGAAACUAACAGGUCCUUGAAUGUCUUAAAACUUAUAUAUAUAGAUAUUUGUGGGUCAUUUUUCUACAUUUAUUUGGAAUGGCCAACAAUAUUUUAUAAUGUUCAUACACGAUUUUUUAAGAUAUAUAUACAUAUAUCUCAUUUCUAAAAAAUUGAAGUUCCUGGACGUGUUUAAAAUUUUUAAGGCUGAAGUUGAAAACCAAUUUAACAAACGAAUCGAAAGCAUCAGAUCUAACUGUGAUGGUGAGUACGAUGGUAGAUAUGGCGGUUCAGGUGAAUAACGUGUAGGAUUAUUUGCUAAAUACCUAGAGGAAUGCAAUAUCGUCCCACAGUACAAUAUAUCUGGUUCACCCACUAUGAAUGGUGUAGUUGAAAGACGAAAUAGAACACUUAAGAACAUGGUAAGGGGUGUGAUAUGUCAUUCUAUUUUAUCAGAAUCACUCUGGAAAGAAGCACUUAAAACUACAGCAUAUAUUCUUAACAAAGUUCUAACUAAAAUAACUAUCAAAAUUGCUAUGAGUUUUGGACAAGAAAAAGGUAUAGUUUAAAACAUUUACAUAUUUGGGGACGUUUAGUUGAAGCAAGGCCUUAUAGGCCAAAUGAAAAGAAAUUGGAUUAAAAAGUAGUUAGUUAUUAUUUUAUUGGAUAUUUUGAAAGAUCCAGGGACUACAAAUUUUAUGAUCCAAUGACUAAAUCGAUUUUUGAGACAGAAAAUGCUCGAUUAUUUGAAGAUGUCGAGUUUGGGGGAGAAGAUACAGUUAGGAACCUUGGCUUUGAAGAGAAAUAUGUUAAUAUUUUCACAGGUAUCAUUGAUUUUGUUCAGAAUCUCAUUCCUAACCUUGAUCAUAACACAACAAAUCAAAACAAUGUUGAAAAAUAAACUGUUAUAGAAGAACAAACUCUACCUUUUUAAAAAUCAAUGCCAUUAAGAAAAUUCACUAGAGAAAGGAGACGUGCAGUGCCAAUGAUUAUAUUAUUUUUCUGCAAAAACAUGAGCAUGACACUGGAUUGAUGGACGAAGAUCCAAUCAACUUCCAUCAAGUCAUGAAAAGUUUAAAUUCUCAAAAGUAGAUCGAUGCUAUAAAUGAAGAGAUUAAAUUCAUAAAAGAUAAUGAUGUUUGGGAUUUUAUCUCAUUACCAAAAGGAGUAAAAUUCAUCGAUUGUAAAUGAAUAUUUAAAAUCAAGAGAGAUUCGAAAAGUAAUAUGAAAAGAUACAAAAUUCGUUUUGUCGCUAAGUUCUUUAUACAAAAGAAAGGCAUCGACUAUAAAGAAAUCUUCUUUCCGAUCUUUUCGAAGGACUCUUUGAGAAUUAUAAUGGCAUUAGUGGCAUAUUUCAAUAUUGAGUUACACUAAAUGGAUAUAAAGAUAGCGUUCUUAGUGGGGACAUUGAAUAGACGAUUUAUAUGAUGUAACCAACAAAUUUUGUAUCAAGAGAUCCAAAAAAUAUGGUUUGUAAAUUUAAAAAAUUCAUCUAUGAUUCGUAUGAGUUCAAGCAAGCAUCUCGACAAUGGUAUUUCAAUUUCAUCAAAUGAUCAUCUUAUUUAAUUUUGAGAUAAAUUUAGUUGAUGAUUGUAUAUACCAUAAGUUCUGUGAGAGUAAAUAUAUUUUUCUGGUUUUGUAUGUCAAUGACCUUUUAUUUGUCAGUAACAAUAUAAGUCUAUUGCAUAAAAUCAAGAGAUUUCUAAUUAAGAAUUUUGAGAUGAAAGAUCUUGGUGACACAUAUUAUAUGCUACGUAUAAAGAUACGCUGGGAUCGCUCUUAGGGUAUUUUGAAACUAUCACAAAAAGACUGUAUAAAAAAGAUUAUUAAAAGAUAUGAUAUGUAAAAUUAUAAAUUAGGUGACACCCUUGUGGCUAAAUGGGACAAAUUCAGUCUUGAUCAGUGUCCUAAAACUACUUUUGACGAAAAGAAAAUAUAAAAGACUUCUUAUGCAUCAGCAGUAGGGAGUCUAAUGUACGUUCAAGUAUGUAUGCAUUCGAAUAUUACAUAAUUAUUGGAAUGUUGCAUAGAUAUUUAAGUAAUCAUAAAUUAGAUCAUUGGAAGGCAACCAAACGGGUUUUGCGGUAUUUAUAGAAAAUAAAAGAUUGUCACGUAUCGGAGGUCAGAAAAACUCGAGAUCAUUGGGUACACUGAUUCCAAUUAUACUGGAUACCAAGAUAAUACGAAGUCAAUAUCAGACUAUAUUUAUUUAUUGCUUGGAGGUGCCAUAUCUUGGAAGAGUACUAAUCAGUCUCUUAUAACCUCUUCUACUAUAACUGUAGAAUUUAUAGUUUAUUAUAAGACAUCCAAUCAUGGAAUGUGGCUGCAAAAUUUUGUCAUAAGAUUACGUGUAAUUGAUGGUAUAAAGACUAUUUAAAUUAUUUUAUGACAAUGAGUUAGCUGUCCUAUAUUCCAAUAACAACAGGAGUUCGAUAAAAUCUAAACAUAUAGAUAUCAAGUUCCUGAUUGUUAAAAAAAAAGUACAGAGUGGACAAUUGUCGAUAGAGCAUAUGGAGACAAGUUCUAUGGUUAUAGAUCCGCUUACUAAGAGAUUACCACUCAAAAUAUUUCAUGAGUAUACUACUCAUAUGGGUGUCAUUUAUUAAAUGAUAUUCAGUUUUAGUAGGAGUUUGUUAUAUUAAAUACCCUUAUGAUAUUGUAUUUUUCGAUUAUUAAUGUUAAGAAUAUUUUAUGCACAAAUAAAGUUUGAAUUUAUUAUACUCUGAUUUUGAUAUAGUUUGAUCUUGCAAAUUUUAAGAUAGACCAGUGGAAAAUAAGCAUGUUAUGAUCACAUUAUAUGAAAUUUUCAUACUACACAUUCAAAUCAUAGUUCAUACCAUUUAAUUAUAUCAACGUAUAUGACCAUUGAUGGGUCGAGUUACGAAAUUAUAACAAAAAUCGCUUUGAUCCUAUGUUGGUGUAAUUGAUGGGCUGAAUUGAUUGUAAAUACAUUUUGGUUAUGAAAGCAAAGUUGAACUCGUAUGGUUAAUUGCAAAACAUAAUUAUAAUGUUAUACAUAUGGUCCAAAUGAGAUAUUGUUGGAUCUUUAAUUCAAUGUUGGACUUAUAUGUGAAUAAUUAUGUGUUAUAGACUGUCAAAUAAGGUUAAAUUCAAUUAAAGUGAUCAAUUAUGAUUUGGAUUUUAAUAUAUCUAAUAGAAUGUGGCCUUUAAUGUGUAGAGAUUUAAGGAUAAUUUCUAUUUUUAUGAUGGGUUGAAAUAGGAUUCCAAAAGGUAACAAGAUAGUUAUCUAUAAAUAAGAUUAUGAUCCUCAGAUCACAUGUAUUCUUAUUGUUGUAUUUUUAGUACCAUAAAAUAGUUCUUUCCUGAUAUCCCAUCAUUAGAAAAGAUACUAGAGAGAAAUUAAAGGAUUUGCUCAAGGGAUUAGCGAAUACGUGUUGAUCUGGAAGACCACUCCAGAAUCUCUAAAAAUUCAAGUACCAAUUAGUUAACAUGAAUCCAGGCACGCUUCUGCAAUUUCGCUAUUAAUUUAUUUCUUAAUAAUCAAGAUUUUGGUUUUAAUAGGUGAUGGUUUUCAUCAAAAGUUGAUAGAAACAAUCACUAACAAAUAGAACUCAAGCGCUUUGGAAAGGUUUUCGUUGAGCUUAAUUUUAAGGAAAUCUCUUAAAAUACGAGUUUGAACAUGUGAUACCCCGAAUUUUAGGACAAUGUUUUUCCUCGUUCUUUUAAAAUUUCGAUUUAUUUCUUUUGUUUUGUUUUAAAAAAAUUAUUUUUUUAAUUGGACACUUUAAAUUUAAAUCAAAGCCCUAGUUUUACUUGUGACUAAAAGGUUAUUAUGUAAUUGAGUUCAAUGCAUAUUUUAUUAUAGGUAAUUAUAAUGGUUGGGUGGUUAGUAGAUUAAUGAGGUGUAAUCAAGCUUGUGGAUUUCAUUAAGUUAGUGAUCUAUGGAGUUAAUUGGAAAGAUUAAAAGAAGUUGGGGUCAUAGUGUGAGGAUUAGCAAAGUAAGAUUUUUAGUAACAUCAAAGCUUCUAGGAUCUUCCUAAACUUAAAUUUGAUUGGUGGAGAAAAAGUCUAAGUUGACCAUUGGGUUAAAUAUCUUCUAUUGUUAGUAAAUGAAAAACAAAGCCAAAAAUUAAGAGGAAAAAGAGAGAGAGGGCCGAGAGCUCUAUGGGAGGUUCAAGAGAAAAAGUUUCAACUUUGGUUUCUUGAUUUCUUACUCAAUCUUGCAAACUAAUCGAUAGCUUCACCAAAUAAUCCAUAGAAAUUGCUUAGGAAGAUGGAUUGCUAUCUUGGAGUGGAGUGUUUUGGUGGUUCAAGCUUCCUAGGGGUUGUUGUGCUUCUCUAAUGCUAGGUAAGGUUGGUAUUAGUUCAUGUUUGUGUUCUUUAUUAGUUUACAAGUGAAAGUUAUGGCUUGUUUAGGUAGAUUUCAUGAUUUUAGUAGUGGUUAUAGUAAAUUCCAGCCUUCUAGUGUAAUUUUCAGCUUUGGUUGUUGAAAUGGAUGGUUGUUCUUGGUGUUCAUGAUGUGGUAAUGCUUAUGCUUAGUGUAUGGAACUGAAUUCAUGGUUAAAAAUUGUUGGGUUUGUAAAAAUUCGGUCAGCAAGAAAGGUGAUUGGUAAGAAUUGAUUUCCAGUUUUAAUGUUGAAAUUGUCCUGUUUCUGACCGUGUCUUUUAGUCCAUGUUAGAAGCUGAAUCAGCCUUAGAUUAAAACAUGAAAGUUGUAGAAAAUGAUGUUUUAUAGCUUCCUGCAAAAUUUCAGCUCAAUUCGAGCACUGUAUCACGUGAAAAGACAAAAAUACCAUUGACUGCCAUAGGUAGAGCUCUGUGGACAGUUUUGAUAUUUCACCAUUCUGGCUGCAUUUUUUUCACCUUGAUCCGUAUUGAAUUAGCAUUUGGCCAAAACACAAAAGUUGUAGUGCUAUGUUUUAUCUUUCCAACGCCAUUGAAAACGCCUCAAUUGGACUUUUGUAGCCUGAGUUAUUGUCAGUUGAACGCAGUGCUGUUAACCAGCCUGACAGUGAAAUUCUGGUUCUGUAAACGAUGAAUUUGACUUGGAUACACUAUGAACUGUGUCGCGCCCCAUUUUUUGAUAGAAUGAAUAAAUGGUUUAAAAAUGUAUUUUUUGAUUCAAUUUGUGAUUUGGAAAAUGAAUUGUGAUUUAAAAGAAAAAUGGGUCUAAAUGGGGGUUUGAGAAUGCGACGAUUUGACCCAAAAUUAUAGUUUAAAAAGGGUUUUUGAAAUAAAAAAUCGGAGUCGCCACUUGGUAAUGAGUUAAGGUGUACCAAGUCACCUAAAAAUGAAUUUUUAAAGAAAAAUAGGAAAAAGUAGUAAGAAACCCCUUUUAAACGACUCCUAGUCCACGUAAACUAACGAAAAAGGUUCGGGAGUCACAUUUGACGAAGGGGAAGGCAAGGAUAAAAUCCAAGGCACCCCUUCGACCUAGCCAAGGCUAGUUGCUUGAUUUAAUCAAAGAUUUUCUUGCUUUAACCAAAGAAUUUAUUACAUUUGGAUGUACUACAUGAAUGCAAACCCUAGACCUAGGGGUAUUGGGGGAAAUUUCUCUUCAAAGGUUGAGUGGUGCCAAUCACAUUAAUUGUGAAGCCCAAUGACGAUCCUUUGAAAAAGUUACGAAUAAUGCGAGUGGGAUGCAAAUGAAUGGAAUGCAUGUAUGCAAUGUGAGGACAUGAGUUUUGAAAAAGUAAUAAAAAAAACAAUAAAUAUGUAAAUGAAAAUGUGCACGUGAGUGGGCAAGGUACGGUAUGUGAAAUGAUAAUAUGAAGUGCAUGUGUGCAAAACGGGAAGAAAAAUGAAAGUGUAAUGAUAGAGUGGAUUUAGAAUGCAUGAGCCUAGGGAUGUAUGCAUAUUGGGCACGGGGAGACCUAAAUCGUGACUCAAUUUUCCCUUUGAUAGAGGGAAUACAAGCGUGCUAAGGUUUAGAAAAAGCCACACUCGUCUAUAUCCCAUAUUUAAGGGGACUCUCAAGCAAAUGAACCCUAUAACUAGCAUGAAAUGCAAAAAUCCUAAAAUGGAGGGAAAAGGGGUUUGAGAGGCAUGCACAAUGAUAAAACUAAAAAGAAUGCAUGACAUGUAAUGAACAUGCGAACAUGCACUAACGAGGGGAAAUCCCUAAGGGUCUAGCGUUGGAUUAGCCCAUUCUAUGAAUUCCGACUAGCAUUGGACUAGCGGAAACGCACAUUCAUCCAUCACAUUCAUUCAGGCUAUGGAAAGCGAGUAGACAUGCCAAACACUUAUAAACACAUAGCACAUAACAUUUAGCAUGCUCGACUAGAUGCAAGAGCCUAAUAAAGCAAAUUAACACGUAGUAACUAAGCAUGCAAGACACAUAAAGCAAUUAAAGCCCUAACUAUUACAUUUGCUAGCUAGACACAUGUCUUCAACAGGUCUUCAUCGAAUGCUCCUCCAAGCCCUAUCUAUUACAAGCCAAGAGGUGUACACAUACCCCAUAAAGAACAACUUAAUGAAAACAAAAGUAAAUGACAUAAAUAAAAGGAAUUAAGGAAAAGCUAGGAAAGCAAAUUAGACAUGCAAAUCUCACUUAGCACAUUGGAUCACAUAGGAGACACAAAAGGGAUAAAAGAAAUUAUACCGCCCCCUUUGAAUGGUGUCCAAAUGAAAGAAAAAUGGCUUCAAAACAAUAAAAAGGUCACGGUACCUCAAAUAGUAAAGUAUAACAAAGUCACCAAAACUCUCCUAAUUGCAAUUUAAAUGAAAUCAAAUAAUACAUAGUUUCCAAUAAAGGGAUCCACCAAAGACCCAAUUGCAAGCAUUAAUCAACCAUUCAAAGCCAAUUGAAACAUUUUAGAAACUUUGAAAGUCAAAGAGCAAGAAAAAGGCCAAAGCCUAUUUAUUUCAGAAAAUUCAAGAAAAUAGGCGAACACAAGCUCAUUCAAACACAAAGUUCUUAAAUUCUUGCAUUAAGCACCACCUAAACAAAUGAAAGCAAAUGAUCAAUCGAGUUGCAAAGUUGAGGCUACCAAGGACUCAAUUGUGAACACUAACCAAGCACUCAAGCCUAAUCAAACACUUUUAGGAACUUCAAAGGUCCAAGGGCAAAGGAAAAGGCAAGUAACAAUUCAAAUUGCAAUUAUUCUAAAACCCAUUUGCAAGAAAUUAGAACAUGCUUGGGCUUUUGUGGAACAUGGAGAAACUUGAGGGAUCGAAUUGAUUAAGUGUUCCAAUUACUUGGGCCAUAGUGAGUCAAGAGGGGACUUGGGGGGUUAAAGAGCAAUUUUUAGCAAUUAUCCAUGCAUGCAACGAAUGCAAACUCACGUAAGAUAACAUUCUGCAACAAACCCAACAAACAAAACUGCUGCACUUUGUUCCACUUUCCAACACUAAUUUUGAUCAAAAAUCUUUCAACCAAACAUUCAAAGCUAAUCUAAACAUCAUAACACACAAAUUCAGAAUUCAAACAAACCCAAAUAUAGAAGAAAACUGAUGCAAAGACACAAGGAAGCUCAUGCAUUCAGCAGAUUCCAGCCACGGCAUUUCUUUUCAUUUUUAUCAUGCAAACCAGAUUUUUGAUUCAAACUCACAGCUUUGAUUAGAUAUUCCUCAUUUCAAUAUCACAACUUUACUGAGUAACAAACUACAUGAUGAUCACAAUCAAAUGACCAGAAACUUGGAAAGAUAUAAUACGCAAAUUCUGGAAAAAGAAUGCAGAAAAAGAGAAACAAAAACUCUCUUAUCAUCUCAUCAACAUAGGCUGAAUACCAGAAUUUUGGCUUGGGCAUGCAUAUGGUGUAUGAACUGAGCAACAAACCACAUCAUUACCAUCAUCCAAGCAGGCAGAAAACUUAGAAAAAUCCCAUGCAAAAUUCUGGGCAAGUAUGCAAACAUUUGAUAAACAAAACUGAUGCAAUUUUUUUUUACCCACUCAGCCGAGAAAGCAUUCAUGAAAACGACUCAACGCAUUUCCCAUCAUUCAAACCCAACAUACAAAGACUUGAAACAAAUGUAGGGGGAAUAUCUAACCAGCUUUCGAAUCAAAAAAAAAAUGGAAUGACAUGAUUUGAAAACAUAUUGACUUUGAAGAAAAACAAGAAUUUCUGCAGCUUUUUCUUUGCAAAUUCAGCAUGUUUACAAACAUUUACAUGACCCAAAGAAACCUGGAAAUGCCUUACUCAAUGACCCAGCACUUCAACCCAAUCUACUUUAGAUUAAACGGCAAAAUCAUAAGUUCCAUCCCUGCCUUCCUCCCCCCAGAAAAUCCAGAAGCAAAAGAUGCAAACUUUAGCUAUCUUUUCUGCAGUAAACUUCGGACUGUGCAUUCCCAGAUUGAAACGUAAGCAUAAUCAUUGAACAACAACCAAGAACAUGCAGCCUGCUAACCAGAAUCUACAACAUUUAAGUAAGCAACAAAAAAAACCAUGACACAAACAAACAGCAGCAAAAGGCGACAGCUUUGGACAAUGAAAAGGACCGCACAAAAAUAGCAUCUGUCUAGCAACCAAAUCCACAACUCAUGAGUCCAGAAUCUCUGGUUUACACACAGCUAAUUAAUCAUCCAGUAUUUAGUUAGCUAAACACACAACCAAGUGAGGAUCAAAUGCUUUCCGGUAGAUUUCGUACUAAAAUACCAUACAAUUUUCAAAACAGCUCCAUCGGCUAAGCUGGAAAAUUGGUUUAGCAAUCCAGCAACUUCCAAUAAAAUUUUCCAGCCAUGCAACCGAAUUCCUAGCCAUAAAGAUCACAUGCAACACCAAAUAAAGAGCUAUCUAUCAGAUUGGGUCCAAAAUCAAGUUCAAAUGUCAUCAAAAAUCACCAUUUAACCAGAAAUUCAUCCAAACUUCUCUCGGUUGACAUGCAUGCAACCAGGUUUUAUAAUCCUUCAAUUUUCUUGCUUAAACAAGGUUGAUUAACCUCAUGCAAGGCUCAAUCAUCCAGCUAUUAAUUAGCUAAACAUACAAUUAAGCUCAGAUCAUCACAACUUAGUAAGUUAAAGCUGAAAUUUCCAGCUCAAGCAAUCGGACAGUUCCAAUUCCUUCAAAAUCAGAUUUUCUUGUAACUUAGUUCAUCAUCCAACCGUACAACCCCACAUGCAUGCUUGUAAACAGCUUCAUCAACCCAUAAACAACUCAUCUAAGUCCAGAAAUUACCUCAGCUUGAAGCUUAAUACACACGACUAGCAGCUGCAACAAACCUCCACUCUCGGCUCUGCUCACGCACGCAGGGUUGGUUGGUCUGAGUUCAGUGGUUGCAGUUGUAGUGAUUGUGGUUGAAUUGAGCACGGCUGGUUGAGGUGAAGAAUAAAAUGGCAGCUCUCGGAUGAUGGAGAAAGUGAUGAAGCUCACGCAAUUGUCUCCUGCUCUCACCCUCCCUCGGACAGUUCAAGUACCGAAGCUCGCACGGCUCUCUCUCUGAUUUCUCUCGUCGAUGAUACCAAGGCAGAAAGUGAAGUGAAACGGAAUGAUGUUGUGGAGUGUUGGGGUUGCUGAAAUGGAAAGCUCAGCUCGGAUGAGGGAGGUGAAAUGUAUAUAUUGAGGUGUUGUGAGUGGAGCUGGUCGGCACUCCGGCAGAAAUGGAGAUGUUUUUUUUUUUUUUGAAAUUAAUUAAAUAAAACUGAUAAUAAAAAUAGAUAACGAACAACAAAAACAACAAAGCACAAUUUUCCAUUUUUCAUCAAUUUCCUCUUUUCUCUUUUUUUUUUUUUACAAAUUUUACAUUAAAACUUAAAACUAAAACUAAAACUAAAACGUGAACAAAAUUAAAAUGACAAAUAAUUAGCAAAUAAAAGACAAAUAAAAAGGUAACAACUAAAAUGCAGACAAUCUAAAACAAAAUCAUGAAUUAGAUGCAACAUACAAAUUAUUUAAAAAUUUGGUGUCUACAGUUUGCCCCUCUUUGUUUGAGUUUUGAAAAAACUUGAGACAAAGAAGUAGACACCAGAUACUUACCUGUGUUAUUCGGCUGCAAAAUGAUUUGAACGGACAGGAAUUUUAAAAACGGGACUGACCCGAACAAGGAAUUUAAAACGGGACUGACCCGAACAGGAAUUUAAAACGGAAUUUAAAACGGGACUGGCCCGAACAGGAAUUUAAAACGGGACUGACCCGAAUAAGGAUUUAAAACGGGACUGACCCGAACAGGAAUUUAAAACGGGACUGACCCGAAUAAGGAUUUAAAACGGGACUGGCCCGAACAGGAAUUUAAAACGGAAUUUAAAACGGGACUGGCCCGAACAGGAAUUUAAAACAGGACUGGCCCGAACAGAAAUUUAAAACGGGACUGGCCCGAACAGGAAUUUAAAACGGGACUGACCCGAACAGGAAUUUAAAACGGGACUGACCCGAAUAAGGAUUUAAAACGGGACUGGCCCGAACAGGAAUUUAAAACGGGACUGACCCGAACAGGAAUUUAAAACGGAAUUUCACUGGGGAAGUUUAAACAAUGAAUUAAGUUUUUUUUUUUUUUUACCUGAGAAUAGUUCAACUUUUGUACCAAGAGGGAAAUUUGGAUUUCUGUGACUGAAACGAUAGCUGAUGCUGUUUCUUAUGAUCGAGUCUUGCAAAUAACAUCGAUCCUUGUUUACUGGGAAGCUUUGUCUGACAUCGGUUUAGGUGCCAAAAAGAGAGUGGCUGCUUUUGUUUGUAAAUGCAACAUUCCUGCAAGAAAAGAAGAAAUAAUGGGCUUGCCACCAUUAUUUGAUCCGGUUUGCCUUGAGAGUCGUGUAAACAUGAGUCUUAUGAUGCUUUUAUUUCGGCUCGGCGGCGUCUGCCUUAAACCUUUCAAUUUCUGAGACUGAUAAAAUGCAGAUUUACCACGUCACCCAAUCCAGGUGGUAGCUUUGUUGUAUGUUACUCCCUGUAACUGAUGAUUGAAUCCCCUAUCUUUGCACAAACCUCAGGGUUUAUCAUUCAUUUGAAUUUAAUGGUGAAAGAAUGAUGCAUGAAAAUUAGUCAUAUAAAAAUCAAUGUAUAUGCAAGAUGAUUUCCUAUGUUAGGCAAAGAUGAGCAUGCAAAAGAAUGUAGACAAUCAUAAGCAUUCAUACACAAAUAAUUUGAGAAUAACCAAGAGGUUUAUAAAGAUACAUUUUGCAAAAGAAUAUUUGUAAAGAACAAAUACAAAUUUAACCAACGAAUAUCAUAUUCAAAACUUUGGAUAUUUUCUCUUCGGAAUCCGAUAUUGGCAGAAGUAUCACAAAUAUGAGGAAAACCCCAAAUGAACCAGGUCACCGGCUGUUCCUUCUUGAGCUUGUCUGUUGAGAAAACCUACCCUGGCGCCUUUUCGGGUUUUCACCAAGGUUGCCCCCACCCUUUUUGUUGUUUUUUUUUCUUUUUUUCGAGGCGCCCUUUCGGGUUUUCACCUAGAGAACCAUGAAAUAUCUCGACCAUUAUCGACUCAGAAAUAUGAAUUGAAGAUUUCUGGCAUCAGUAGAAUGCAUUUCCCUUGUGAGAUUAGGCGAAAGCAUUAUAGACAUCACCUGCCAGUUGAUUAACAAAUUUCCUAAUAGAAAUACAGCGAGUGACGAAAACCAGGACUUUGGGCUUUUGUAAUGAAGUCCGGUGGGGUGUUUUUCAAGAAAAGUUGAGACUUGAAAGCAGAUUUGAUACGAGGGAUGAAAUAACUUGAGAUUGCACCCUUUUGAAAACAACUCCAAAACUGAGGAAACUUUGCCCCAGUUUGACCAGAUUUUUUUCUCUUUGCAUUUUUCAUUGUAUUUUCCUCACUUUUUGCAUUUUUCUUUGAAAACUAAAUUUGCCCCAGUGUAGGGUUUUCUUUUUUCUUUUUCUUUCUUCUUUUUUUUUUUCUCAAAAAUAAAUUUGCCCCAGUGUGGGGUUUGCAAUUCUCAAGGGUUAUGGUUAUCAAACGAAAUUUGUCAAUUCUGAUGGCUCAAAGGGGACAAGUAGAGAUAAAAAUGUUUUUAGUGUAAAAGAAGAUGGCCUAACUUGCAUUUCGCCAUUUGCAUGAAUUUCUAAAGAAAAUUUGCAUGAUCAAAUGAAAAACUUUUUGCACAUAUCUGAGUUGAUGGGUUGAGGGAAAACCCGUCCAUCCAUUUCCGCCAAAAUAAGAGCUCCGCCAGGUAAUACCUUUUGGAUAAUGAACGGCCCUUGCCAAUUUGGAGCGAACUUGCCUUUAGCUUCAUCUUGCAUUGACAAAAUUCGCUUCAGUACCUUAUCACCUUCUUCAAAUGCCCGCCGAUGGACUUUUUUGUUGUAAGCUCGGGCCACACGUUUUUGAUAGCAUUGCCCAUGACAGAUAGCAUUGAAUCGCUUCUCAUCUAUCAAAGUCAAUUGCUCAUGGCGCUGCUUGAUCCAAUCGGCCUCCUCCAAUUUAGCUUCCAUAAGGAUUCGUAGCGACGGAAUUUCAACCUCAGCUGGUAAUACAGCUUCCAUCCCAUACAUAAGUGAAUAUGGCGUUGCCCCAGUCGAUGUCCGAAUAGAAGUCCGGUACGCCAUCAAUGCAUAAGGCAACUUUUCAUGCCAAUCGCGAUGCUUUUCUGUCAUUUUGCGGAUAAUUUUCUUCAGAUUCUUAUUUGCGGCUUCUACAGCUCCAUUCAUCUGAGGCCUAUAAAUGGCAGAAUUGCGGUGUCUGAUCUUGAACUGCUCGCAUAGUCCAUCCACCAUGUCAUUGUUCAGAUUCUUGGCAUUGUCCGUAAUAAGCGUUUCGGGUACUCCAAAGCGACAGAUGAUGUGAUCUCUCAAGAAAUUGGCAACUACCUUCUUCGUCACAUGUUUGAAUGACUCUGCUUCAACCCAUUUGGUAAAGUACUCGAUCGCCACCAAUAUAAAUCGAUGUCCAUUUGAAGCGGGAGGAUCGAUUGUACCAAUCACGUCCAUACCCCACAUUGAACAGGGCCAUGGGGCGGUCAUGCUAUGCAGUUCAGUGGGUGGAACGCGUAUAAUGUCACCGUGCAUUUGGCAUUUUAUACAUCUCCGGACAAAAUCUAUACAAUCAUGCUCCAUAGUAAGCCAGAAGUAUCCGGUUCUCAUGAUUUUCUUCGCUAGCAAAUGGCCAUUCAUGUGAGGUCCACAAACGCCACUAUGCACUUCCUUCAUCAUAUAUUGAGCUUCAUCUUCAUCAAUGCACCUUAAAAGGUUCAAAUCCAAAGUUCUUUUGUACAACACUUCUCCAUUUAAGAAAAAUUUUGAAGCCAUUCUACGCAGAAAAUUCUUGUCUUUUGUACCAGCAUGUAGAGGGUAAGACCCUGUUUUGAGAAACUCCUUGAGAUCAGUAUACCACGGAACAUUAUCGGAGGACUUGUCUACAACCCAACAGUGGGCAGGUUUGUCUUGAAGUUGAAUCGGAAUUGGCUCGAUCCUCAAUUCAUCAGGAUAUCGGGUCAUAGAAGCUAAAGUGGCCAAAGCAUCGGCAAAUGCGUUCCGGGCACGUGGAAGAUGUCUGAACUCCAAAUUUCGAAAUUGCUUGGCCAGAGUAAGCAGACUGCAAUGGUAGGGCAGAAUUUUUGAAUCUUUGGUUAUCCACUGUUUCAAGGUUUGAUGCACAAGCAAAUCUGAAUCGCUGAAAGCUAUCAACUCUUUGAUUUCCAUUUCCAAAGCCAUUUUGAGACCAAAAAUGCAAGCUUCAUAUUCAGCCAUGUUGUUUGUGCAGGCAAAUUGCAAUUUGGCAGCGGCAGGGUAAUGUUUCCCUUCGGGUGAAACCAGAACAGCUCCAAUUCCAACUCCGAGGGAAUUCGAAGCUCCAUCGAAGAAAAGCCUCCAUUCAGGGCUUUGUUCACUUAUAUCAUCUGUAGCGCCUACGAAUAAAACUUUCUCAUCAGGGAAAUACGUAUGAAGUGGCUGAUAAUCAUCAUCCCUUGGAUUUUCCGCCAAAUGAUCCGCUAUAGCUUGCCCCUUGACCGCCUUUUGUGAAGUGAAAACAAUAUCAAACUCUGAGAGAAUUAUCUGCCAUUUGGCCAGGCGUCCGGUUAACAUCGGUUUCUCCAAAAGAUACUUCAAAGGAUCAGAUCGGGAAAUAAGAUAAAUGGUAUGGCUCAACAGGUAGUGUCUCAAUUUUUGGGAUGCCCAGGCCAAUGCACAACAGCUUUUCUCAAUGAAUGAAUAAUUAGCCUCAUACUGCGUGAACUUCUUGCUUAGAUAGUAAAUGGCUUGUUCUUUCCUUCCAAAGUCAUCGUGCUGACCUAGAACACACCCUACUGCUCCAUUGAGUACAGAUAAAUACAUAAUCAAAGGUCGGCCUGGUUUGGGCGGCACUAAGACUGGUGGAUGCAACAAAUAAUCUUUAAUCUUGUCGAAAGCCUGCUGGCACUCCUCAUUCCAAUACAACGGUACAUUCUUUCUUAAUAAUUUGAACAAUGGCUCGCAUGUGGCAGUUAAUUGGCCGAUGAACCUCCCGAUGAAAUUGAUCUUCCCUAAGAAGCUUUUCACGUCCUUCUGAGUUUUCGGCACUGGCAUAUCUCGAAUUGCUUUGAUUUUCGCCGGAUCUAUUUCUAUGCCCUUCUUGCUAACAAUGAAUCCCAACAGCUUACCCGCAGGUGCUCCAAAGGCGCAUUUCACAGGAUUUAACUUCAAAUUGUACAUCCGCAAUCUUUCGAAUAACUUAUUCAAAUCAACCAAAUGGUCCUCUGCCCUCUUAGACUUGAUUAUGAUGUCAUCCACAUAGACCUCCAUCUCCCGGUGGAUCAUAUCAUGAAAUAGGGUUGUCAUGGUCCUCUGAUACGUUGCUCCAGCAUUCUUUAAACCGAAAGGCAUGACUCGGUAGCAAAAGGUACCCCAAGGGGUAAUGAAAGCAGUUUUCUCCCUAUCCUCUUCUGCCAUCAAAAUUUGGUGGUAGCCAGCAAAACAAUCGCAAAAGGAUUCAAUCUCAUGUCCGACAGUAUUGUCUAAGAGAAUGUGAAUGUUUGGUAGAGGGAAAUCAUCUUUAGGACUGGCUUUAUUAAGGUAUCUAUAAUCAACGCAAACUCGCACCUCUCCAUUCUUUUUUGGAACAGGGACUGGAUUCGAAAGCCAAAUUGGGUAAUGGGAAACAAUGAUAAUGUUGGUUUUGAGUUGUUUUUCAAUUUGCUCUUUUAUUUUGAGGCUCAUAUCUGGUUUGAAUUUUCUGGGUUUUUACUUUACGGGUGGAAAAGAAGGGUCUGUGGGUAACCUAUGCACUACCACGUCAGUUGAAAUGCCAGUCAUAUCAUCAUAGGACCACGCAAAUACAUCCUGGAACAUGGUCAAGAAUUCAAGCAUCUCAUUUUUCUGUCUUUCACUCAAAUGAAUACUAAUUUGCACCUCCUUAACUUCAUCCUCAGUGCCAAUGUUAACCUUUUCUGUUUCUUCCAGGUUCGGUUUUGGUUUUUUCUCAUAUUGUUCAAGGUCCUUUGCAAAAGAAUCGAAUACCUCCUCAUUAUCACUCUCGCUUUGGAGUUCGGAUUCACAGACCUCCAAGUCAUGAGUGAUAUAGAGAUUGCCGUUAUUGAAUUCUAGAAUUGUGAUAUCCAAAGGGUCAAAUAAUUUUAUUUUUGGCCAUCUGAAAGAAUUAACGAAUGUGGGAUAAUAAGCAGAUAAGCAUACAACAAACCAAUGAACAAGCAAUAUAAAUAUAAACAAGCGAAUAAACAACACAACAUGACAAGAAAAACUUGUGCACUUUCUAUAAAGCCUUUGAUUGAAAGCAAAUGGAAAUGAAAACUUAACAAUAUUUACAUGUGCAAAUGUUAGUCAAAAGUAAAAUUGUUUUCAUUGGCUAUUUACAGAUGCAAAAGUAUUUUCAUGAAUUCACAUGAAUGAUAAACCCCUUUCAGUUUACCGAAACUCCUUUCGAAUGGGCAGAGCCUCGGCUGUCCAGUUGGGAAUUGAUCCAUCGAGGAUGUCAGGAAAUUCAGCUUCGCUCGGAACACUAUCUUCAAAUGUUGCCCCAACGAACAAUUGGGCCAAACUUGCUUCAAUUUCGUCAACUGGGUUGAUUUCUGACAUGAUCACCUCGGCUGGUCGUGGGAAAGUAUAUUGCAGGGGUGGAAUGUCAAGAGCCCUUUGCCUUCCUUCCUUCUCCGCUUUCUUGCGCUCCUUCAUCUCUCUAAUGUCCUUAGCAGUUGGUCGGAAACCCAAACCAAACGAAUCAUUUUUCUCCACAAUCUCCACUGGCUUUAAAAUUCCUUGCAGAUCUCGUCCCAGCCCUUUGUCAAAUUCAUAGCCUCCGCGGAUCAUCUCCUUAGCCAUCAUGACACUGGCCCUUGAUAGAGCUUGCUCCUCCUUUGUUAUCCAACUGACGGAGACAAUAUCAGAUGUGCUAUGAGGGGUCACUGUGGAGCUUCGGCUACCCUCUUCUUUGGACUCGGAAUCGGUGAUUACAAGACAAUCCUCUUCGGCAAAUAUAGUUAUCAGCUUGUCAUUUACUACAAAUUUCAGCAAUUGAUGCAAUGAAGAAGGCACCGCCCCAGACUUGUGAAUCCAUGGCCUGCCAAGCAAAACGUUGUAAACACUAGGAAAGUGCAUGACUUGGCAGGUUAUUUGAAACUGGGCGGGCCCCAUUUCAACUACUAAAUCAACUUCUCCUAUUGGCUCUCUUUGCGCUCCAUCAAAACCUCGGACUAUGGUCCCUGAAGGCCUCAGCUUGACGUCUUGCAAUCCUAGCUUUUCCAAGGUGCUCCAAGGACAGAUAUUAAGCGCAGAUCCGUUGUCAAUCAACACCUUCGGCAACAUUUUCCCGUUGCACCUCACGACUAUGUACAGGGCCUUGUUAUGUCCAAUGCCUUCCGCCGGCAAUUCCUCGUCAGAGAAAGUGAUUUGUUUGGUGAAUAAUACGUUCCCAACCACAUGUGAGAAAUUAUCAACUGAAAUGUCCUUAGGGAUUUGAGCUUUAGUCAGUACUUCGAUCAGCGCGUCCCUAUGCAUGUCUGAUGAAAAGAGCAGGUCCAACAUGGAUAUCUGAGCAGGUGACUUGCUUAGCUUCUCGAUUACAUUGUAUUCGCUUCUCUGGAGCCUUUUAAGAAAAUCCAAGGCUUCUUUCUCGGUGAUUGUUGGUUUAGCAGGCGGCUCAGAGUUAUUUGCUGGAAUCGGAAUGGCAGUUUCAAACGGACUGGCAGUCUUCCCCGAUCUGGUAACCACUGACACUUCCUUCUUUGCAAUUGACUUCUCCCCAAUCUGUAUGACAGGUUCAUCGUAAUUCCAUGGCACUUGCUGCAGACUUAAAACAGGUUCUUGCUUCGGGAAUUCGAUGAAUACUGGCUCUAAAGCCUCACUCUCAGUUGGCGUGAGAUCCAAAAUAAAGGGCUUUUCGUCCUCUUCAAAUGGCAAUUCUAUGACAAAGGGUUGGUCUAUGGCCCCAAACACUUCAGCUUCCCUUGCCAAUUCUUUGACUGGUUCUACGUACUCCGUAUCAUCCAGAAUAACACCAAUGAUAUUGGCAUGUUCCGGCAAGGGGUUCCUAUUUACGUUCGGCCCUUGUGUCUCCCUUUUUCGGAUUACAAUCUCCCCGGCUUCAACCAUAUCUUGGAUUUUAUGCUUAAGCGCCUUGCAAUCAAUAGUCGAAUGUCCGGCGGCCCCUGAAUGAUAAGCACAGACGGCUUGCGGGUUAUACCAGGCGGGCAUGCCAUAUGGAUAGGUAGGAGGGGGUACCAUACCAAUUUUCCCGGCGGCCUUUAACUGAUCAUACAAUUGGUCUAAAGGCCUGCCUAAAUUGGUGAAUGCACGGCUAGGGGGUCGAUUGUACGGUUCAGGAGGUGGAGGAUGGUUGUAAAUAGGUUUAUUUGGUGGAGGAAAUCUUGAAUUAUAUGGAGGGCGAGGUCAAUUUUGGGGUGGAUUCGGUUGAGAAAUUUGAAAUGGGGCUGAAGGUGGGUUAGGAUAGCUUGGGCGAGAUCUAGGGUGGUGGAUGUUGGUAGUAUAUACAGGGUGCGGAUUUGAGUAGUAGGGGUAAUGGGGUUGGUAGAUUGGGCUGUGUUGGUAUUGGGGUCUGGGUGAAGGGUUUUGGUUCCAAAUAAAGGUUGCAUCCCCCUCUUUCUUUUUGAACGGCGGCUUUUUCACAUUGCUUCCUUGACCUUGUAAAGCAUCCAACUGGGAUUUGAGAGCAGAGACAUUAACAAUCUUCCCAGCUCUUACGAAGUCAUCAAACUCCUCAAGUUUAUUUACAAUUGCAGCAAACGAACAUCCGGUCAUACGGAAAAUCUCUUCAAAGUACGGCGGAUCAUGUGCUUUUAUGAAAGUACGUAUGAUUUCGUCCUCGGUCAUUGGUGGCUCGACUUUUGCAGCUACUUUUCUCCACCUCUUGGCAUAAGUCUUGUGAUCCUCGGAGGGUUUUCUUUUCGUCCCUUCCAACGUAGUUCGUGUCGGAGCCAACUCGCAGUUAUACUCGUACUGCCUGAUGAAAGCAUUGGAUAGAUCAACCCAGGUCUUCACCUCCUCCGGCUUUAAAUUCGAAUACCAAUCAAGGGCGUCGCCUUCUAGACUUUCCGGGAAUAACCUUAACGGCAAGUUCUCGUCAUCCACUGGUCUACCCAACUUGUUGGCAAACAAACGCAAGUGUGUCUUCGGGUUGCCCGUACCAUCAUAUUUGUUGAACUUCGGGGUCUUGAAUCCCACUGGCAGCUGUACAUUUGGAAACAGGCACAAAUCAUCGUAGUCUAGCACCCCUUGCUUGCUUAAACCUUGGCUUUUCCGGAUGAACUCAUCGAAACGGUCCAACCGCUUAAGUAACUUCAGAUCAAUUGGGGCAGAUGACUCCCCCACUUCCGGCUUGGUUUGAACAAUGUUCUCCGGCACAAAAGGCUCUGCAGUAGUCUGAUAAAAAGCGUGUGGAUCUGGAGGCAUGCUUGGACCACCUUGACCACCCUGAGGAUGAAAUCCUUGCCCAUAGAGAGGAUAGAACGGAGGAUUUUGAGUAUAAGCAUAUUGCGGGUUGACAAUUCCCUCAAACGUGGUUUGAAUUGGAGGAAUAACAAAUGGUAACGUGGUUUGAAUUGGCGGAAUAACAAAUGGUUCGGAUUGUGGUUGUGUGGCGGGCACAGGUUCAGGUUGCACUCCGUUACUAACGAGCUCGUCGAUCAACUUCUUCUGAGCGGCCAUUUCCGAUGCCAUUUCCCCAAAUUUUGUGAGUAACUCUGUCAACUGAACCCCAGGACUUGCAGCUUCUGGCUGGGUAGUUGCAACGGCCUUAUCGGAUGAUUCUGGUUGGGUACUCAUGUCUACACGAUUCCUUUGGGCUUUACUUCGGGAUCGCGUAAUAAUGGGGCUUUUCCGAAAAGCUAUUUUGAAAUUUACCUGAAAAUGCAAAAGACUUCUUUAGAUAAACCAAUGAUUACUGAAUUUCUGCAAUUUAAAGAGAGAAAAAAAAGAAAAAGACAUGAGUUAGUAAUUAUUCAAACAAUUCGGAUGCAUGUCCUAUUUUGGGGGCCCUUUUUGUGCCAAGGGUAGGCCUAGCAUGAUGCAACACCUUCGAAAUGGGACCCGUAACACAAACCUGUUUUUGACAAUAAUUCCAAAUGAGGGCAAAAGAAAAAUCAUUUUCAUUGAUAAACUUGCCAAUAUUUACAUCAUAUCACGAAGACGAUUCCGUACAAGAUUACCAAAACUUCUGAACCUAUCUAAUACAGAGUCCUUUGUUUCCCUAGCAUAUGGAAUUCUAACACAUUCAGUUUGGUCAUAUAAUUCUGCACAUUUCCUUUUCAGCUCUUGACGCCUUCCUCGUUCCUUUUCAUACAAUUGCUUGCUUUGCUCGGCCAUCCCUUUGUAUGCUUCGACAGACUUACUUAACUGCAGAAUUUCCUUAUCCUUUGCUUCGAUAAUGACUUUCAACUUUUUCACCUCCUCAGAUGGCUCAUCUUGAAUUUCUUGCGCAACGGAUCCUCCUACCCAGUCUUCGUAUUGCGGAGUGGUCAAUCCCCUUUGUUUGAGUUCUGGAACGUACUUGACGCGUUCAUCGUCGGACAACGUCUCCCAGGCCUCAUCAAGAAGAAUCUUCAUCGGAAUUUCUCUCGGACAUAUCCCUUUGUCGAAAAUGAUGGUAAAUGUAGUCAGAUCAACUGCAGACGGCACAUCUUGAACUCGCCCUAAUUGUCGGAGGAACCUUCUUGGAUUGUAUGCCAUGAUACCCUGAGUGCCCAAUAAAGGAACAAACUCGGAUGCCUUGGUGCGAAGGACAGGCUUGACACAAUUGGUCCAAUCCAAUACCCAUCUCACCUUUUGAUUGGUCACAUUCGUUAAAAAGUUCACAAACUCGGAUGCAUUACACGGUGAACUCCUACUAUUGAUCCUCUUGUGAUGUGUGAUUACCCAAUUAUAUCCGGCCAUUGGUAGACUCUCGGGAAUAGACGGUCGUCUCAUGAAGUGCUCCAUCCCCCACACAUGUAAAAUCAAAUUUGACCCACAAAAGAACUUUUCCCUUCUCUGACAGGUAGUGCAAGCUAUGAAGAUGUCGGCCAAAAUAGUUGGAACAAUGGAACACUGUUUAUCUUUUAUUCCUAGAAACAAGUCGUACAAGAUUUUAGUGAACUUGAAGGCUAUCUUUUUGUCUUUCCUAGGGAAAAAGUAGGUUCCAGCCAUGACUAAUCCAUAUACCCAAACUCUCUUUCGUUCCCAUAUUUCCUCGGACGUAAACGAAAAAUCCCCUCGAUGCCUCUCAAAACCAUCUCUUAAUGCGAAUCGAUCAAAUAAGAACUUCGCCUCUACAUUUUGGUCUGCCCCUUGCAGUACUGAUUCCUUUAACCCAGUGAAACGGCAAAAUUCAUCUUUGUUAGAUACUAACGGAAAUAUCACGGCAGUUCCUUGGAUCGGCAAAUUGAGAAAUCCGGCAACUUCCUCAAUCGUUAUGGUCAUCUCCCUUUUCCCAAGUCUAAAAGCAGAACAAGUGGGGUCCCAGAGAUGCACCAAAGCCUCUACCAAAUACCCAUCGGACUUAAUGUCCUUGAAAUCCCCGAUGCGUCCUAAUCGAUCGGCUAUUUGGUUAAUCUCAUUGGGUGAAAGUAAUGUGGGCCAUCUUUGUACCUCCGGCGGCACUACUAACAUCUGUUGCACUCGGCGAGGAUUGUCCAUCUAGAAACCAAAACCGGGGUCAGAUACCUUACCUACAGGUCCCAUUUCUCUGGUUAACAGGAAUUUAAACGUGCAAAUCCCAAAAAAUUGGGUUAAAUACCCAUGGGAUUUAGGUUGGCUUGUCCCUAAUGUGGGAUUCCCUAAGUGGCAUUCCCUUUCUAAGGCUUAUGCAUGAUGUCAUUCUUAUCAAAGCAGGGAAACAUGCAAUUUGAAAUGAGACUUGACCUAAGGAGCCCUUUGUUCGCCAGGGUGGGCCUAAAAUGGCAUGACAUUAUUAAUUUAUGAACAUAAUAUACCAAAACUUUUAAACGUGCAAUAUCCUAUUUACACAGGUAGGCCCUAAAAGAAGGUUAUGCCAGACCUCUUAUUUGCUAGGGUUUGUGAAUGCAAUGAGGUCAUAAAACCAAGAAAAAUUAGUUCAGCCAGAUAUAUACACAUAACACAUUGUAGCAACGAAAUCAACACAAAGAAGUAAAGCAAUAAAAAGGAGAAAGGAGUUGGACCCCUCCCCUCGUGAAUAGUGUCUCCUAAUUUAGGGCAAGGUUGACUCUACCUUAGGCAAUUCUAAAAUGGAUGCAUGAGGUUGGGGCUCACUAAUGCAUCUAGACUCGAUAGGUCAUAGGUCCCCGAGCCUUCAGACUUGGAAACCAAAGGUCAUCACUCCCAAGGUUCCUUGUCGGUGGCUCGAGUGAUUCCCCAGACAUUGCUACGCACACGUCGUGUCACGGCCACAUGUCUGAGUGAAUCUAUCAAAAAUCCUUAAUCUUCGACUAAAAGCUAAAGGCUAUUAACCCAAAGCUUAAAGCGGAAGAUUAAGUGACCCCUUGGAUCGUGCUACGCACACGUCGUGUCACGGUCACACGUCCAAGUGAGUCGCCUAAAAUCCUAAUAGGGUGGAGUGGCGUGACAAGCCACUAAAAGAAAAAUAAAUGAGGGGUUAAAAAUUAAAGCGUAUGCACGUAUGCCAGUGCUCGUUUGGAGGGGAGGGAUCGAGAACCAACGUGAGGCUCUAAGGUGACACACACCCCCCCCCAAAUGCAAUGCGAGCGCGAGGUAAGUAAGUAAACAUACAUCCAAUCAACCAAUCAUACAUUCACGAGCGAGGGAGUAGUUGGAUACGCGUGAAAUGCAAAAAUCCUAAUAAAAGAAAAAAUGCAAUCCUAAACACCCAAAUGUGAUAUAUGAAAAGAUUAAAAGAAGAAAAAGGUUGAUUAAAUCAAAUUUGCUCGGACUCUCGAAUAUCCCCAGUGGAGUCGCCAACUGUCGCGCCCCAUUUUUUGAUAGAAUGAAUAAAUGAUUUAAAAAUGUAUUUUUUGAUUCAAUUUGUGAUUUGGAAAAUGAAUUGUGAUUUAAAAGAAAAAUGGGUCUAAAUGGGGGUUUGAGAAUGCGACGAUUUGACCCAAAAUUAUAGUUUAAAAAGGGUUUUUGAAAUAAAAAAUCGGAGUCGCCACUUGGUAAUGAGUUAAGGUGUACCAAGUCACCUAAAAAUGAAUUUUUAAAGAAAAAUAGGAAAAAGUAGUAAGAAACCCCUUUUAAACGACUCCUAGUCCACGUAAACUAACGAAAAAGGUUCGGGAGUCACAUUUGACGAAGGGGAAGGCAAGGAUAAAAUCCAAGGCACCCCUUCGACCUAACCAAGGCUAGUUGCUUGAUUUAAUCAAAGAUUUUCUUGCUUUAACCAAAGAAUUUAUUACAUUUGGAUGUACUACAUGAAUGCAAACCCUAGACCUAGGGGUAUUGGGGGAAAUUUCUCUUCAAAGGUUGAGUGGUGCCAAUCACAUUAAUUGUGAAGCCCAAUGACGAUCCUUUGAAGAAGUCACGAAUAAUGCGAGUGGGAUGCAAAUGAAUGGAAUGCAUGUAUGCAAUGUGAGGACAUGAGUUUUGAAAAAGUAAUAAAAAAAACAAUAAAUAUGUAAAUGAAAAUGUGCACGUGAGUGGGCAAGGUACGGUAUGUGAAAUGAUAAUAUGAAGUGCAUGUGUGCAAAACGGGAAGAAAAAUGAAAGUGUAAUGAUAGAGUGGAUUUAGAAUGCAUGAGCCUAGGGAUGUAUGCAUAUUGGGCACGGGGAGACCUAAAUCGUGACUCAAUUUUCCCUUUGAUAGAGGGAAUACAAGCGUGCUAAGGUUUAGAAAAAGCCACACUCGUCUAUAUCCCAUAUUUAAGGGGACUCUCAAGCAAAUGAACCCUAUAACUAGCAUGAAAUGCAAAAAUCCUAAAAUGGAGGGAAAAGGGGUUUGAGAGGCAUGCACAAUGAUAAAACUAAAAAGAAUGCAUGACAUGUAAUGAACAUGCGAACAUGCACUAACGAGGGGAAAUCCCUAAGGGUCUAGCGUUGGAUUAGCCCAUUCUAUGAAUUCCGACUAGCGUUGGACUAGCGGAAACGCACAUUCAUCCAUCACAUUCAUUCAGGCUAUGGAAAGCGAGUAGACAUGCCAAACACUUAUAAACACAUAGCACAUAACAUUUAGCAUGCUCGACUAGAUGCAAGAGCCUAAUAAAGCAAAUUAACACGUAGUAACUAAGCAUGCAAGACACAUAAAGCAAUUAAAGCCCUAACUAUUACAUUUGCUAGCUAGACACAUGUCUUCAACAGGUCUUCAUCGAAUGCUCCUCCAAGCCCUAUCUAUUACAAGCCAAGAGGUGUACACAUACCCCAUAAAGAACAACUUAAUGAAAACAAAAGUAAAUGACAUAAAUAAAAGGAAUUAAGGAAAAGCUAGGAAAGCAAAUUAGACAUGCAAAUCUCACUUAGCACAUUGGAUCACAUAGGAGACACAAAAGGGAUAAAAGAAAUUAUACCGCCCCCUUUGAAUGGUGUCCAAAUGAAAGAAAAAUGGCUUCAAAACAAUAAAAAGGUCACGGUACCUCAAAUAGUAAAGUAUAACAAAGUCACCAAAACUCUCCUAAUUGCAAUUUAAAUGAAAUCAAAUAAUACAUAGUUUCCAAUAAAGGGAUCCACCAAAGACCCAAUUGCAAGCAUUAAUCAACCAUUCAAAGCCAAUUGAAACAUUUUAGAAACUUUGAAAGUCAAAGAGCAAGAAAAAGGCCAAAGCCUAUUUAUUUCAGAAAAUUCAAGAAAAUAGGCGAACACAAGCUCAUUCAAACACAAAGUUCUUAAAUUCUUGCAUUAAGCACCACCUAAACAAAUGAAAGCAAAUGAGCAAUCGAGUUGCAAAGUUGAGGCUACCAAGGACUCAAUUGUGAACACUAACCAAGCACUCAAGCCUAAUCAAACACUUUUAGGAACUUCAAAGGUCCAAGGGCAAAGGAAAAGGCAAGUAACAAUUCAAAUUGCAAUUAUUCUAAAACCCAUUUGCAAGAAAUUAGAACAUGCUUGGGCUUUUGUGGAACAUGGAGAAACUUGAGGGAUCGAAUUGAUUAAGUGUUCCAAUUACUUGGGCCAUAGUGAGUCAAGAGGGGACUUGGGGGGUUAAAGAGCAAUUUUUAGCAAUUAUCCAUGCAUGCAACGAAUGCAAACUCACGUAAGAUAACAUUCUGCAACAAACCCAACAAACAAAACUGCUGCACUUUGUUCCACUUUCCAACACUAAUUUUGAUCAAAAAUCUUUCAACCAAACAUUCAAAGCUAAUCUAAACAUCAUAACACACAAAUUCAGAAUUCAAACAAACCCAAAUAUAGAAGAAAACUGAUGCAAAGACACAAGGAAGCUCAUGCAUUCAGCAGAUUCCAGCCACGGCAUUUCUUUUCAUUUUUAUCAUGCAAACCAGAUUUUUGAUUCAAACUCACAGCUUUGAUUAGAUAUUCCUCAUUUCAAUAUCACAACUUUACUGAGUAACAAACUACAUGAUGAUCACAAUCAAAUGACCAGAAACUUGGAAAGAUAUAAUACGCAAAUUCUGGAAAAAGAAUGCAGAAAAAGAGAAACAAAAACUCUCUUAUCAUCUCAUCAACAUAGGCUGAAUACCAGAAUUUUGGCUUGGGCAUGCAUAUGGUGUAUGAACUGAGCAACAAACCACAUCAUUACCAUCAUCCAAGCAGGCAGAAAAAUUAGAAAAAUCCCAUGCAAAAUUCUGGGCAAGUAUGCAAACAUUUGAUAAACAAAACUGAUGCAAUUUUUUUUUACCCACUCAGCCGAGAAAGCAUUCAUGAAAACGACUCAACGCAUUUCCCAUCAUUCAAACCCAACAUACAAAGACUUGAAACAAAUGUAGGGGGAAUAUCUAACCAGCUUUCGAAUCAAAAAAAAAAUGGAAUGACAUGAUUUGAAAACAUAUUGACUUUGAAGAAAAACAAGAAUUUCUGCAGCUUUUUCUUUGCAAAUUCAACAUGUUUACAAACAUUUACAUGACCCAAAGAAACCUGGAAAUGCCUUACUCAAUGACCCAGCACUUCAACCCAAUCUACUUUAGAUUAAACGGCAAAAUCAUAAGUUCCAUCCCUGCCUUCCUCCCCCCAGAAAAUCCAGAAGCAAAAGAUGCAAACUUUAGCUAUCUUUUCUGCAGUAAACUUCGGACUGUGCAUUCCCAGAUUGAAACGUAAGCAUAAUCAUUGAACAACAACCAAGAACAUGCAGCCUGCUAACCAGAAUCUACAACAUUUAAGUAAGCAACAAAAAAAACCAUGACACAAACAAACAGCAGCAAAAGGCGACAGCUUUGGACAAUGAAAAGGACCGCACAAAAAUAGCAUCUGUCUAGCAACCAAAUCCACAACUCAUGAGUCCAGAAUCUCUGGUUUACACACAGCUAAUUAAUCAUCCAGUAUUUAGUUAGCUAAACACACAACCAAGUGAGGAUCAAAUGCUUUCCGGUAGAUUUCGUACUAAAAUACCAUACAAUUUUCAAAACAGCUCCAUCGGCUAAGCUGGAAAAUUGGUUUAGCAAUCCAGCAACUUCCAAUAAAAUUUUCCAGCCAUGCAACCGAAUUCCUAGCCAUAAAGAUCACAUGCAACACCAAAUAAAGAGCUAUCUAUCAGAUUGGGUCCAAAAUCAAGUUCAAAUGUCAUCAAAAAUCACCAUUUAACCAGAAAUUCAUCCAAACUUCUCUCGGUUGACAUGCAUGCAACCAGGUUUUAUAAUCCUUCAAUUUUCUUGCUUAAACAAGGUUGAUUAACUUCAUGCAAGGCUCAAUCAUCCAGCUAUUAAUUAGCUAAACAUACAAUUAAGCUCAGAUCAUCACAACUUAGUAAGUUAAAGCUGAAAUUUCCAGCUCAAGCAAUCGGACAGUUCCAAUUCCUUCAAAAUCAGAUUUUCUUGUAACUUAGUUCAUCAUCCAACCGUACAACCCCACAUGCAUGCUUGUAAACAGCUUCAUCAACCCAUAAACAACUCAUCUAAGUCCAGAAAUUACCUCAGCUUGAAGCUUAAUACACACGACUAGCAGCUGCAACAAACCUCCACUCUCGGCUCUGCUCACGCACGCAGGGUUGGUUGGUCUGAGUUCAGUGGUUGCAGUUGUAGUGAUUGUGGUUGAAUUGAGCACGGCUGGUUGAGGUGAAGAAUAAAAUGGCAGCUCUCGGAUGAUGGAGAAAGUAAUGAAGCUCACGCAAUUGUCUCCUGCUCUCACCCUCCCUCGGACAGUUUAAGUACCGAAGCUCGCACGGCUCUCUCUCUGGUUUCUCUCGUCGAUGAUACCAAGGCAGAAAGUGAAGUGAAACGGAAUGAUGUUGUGGAGUGUUGGGGUUGCUGAAAUGGAAAACUAAAGCUCGGAUGAGGGAGGUGAAAUGUAUAUAUUGAGGUGUUGUGAGUGGAGCUGGUCGGCACUCCGGCAGAAAUGGAGAUGUUUUUUUUUUGUUUUUUUGUUUUUUUUGUUUUUUGAAAUUAAUUAAAUAAAACUGAUAAUAAAAAUAGAUAACGAACAACAAAAACAACAAAGCACAAUUUUCCAUUUUUCAUCAAUUUCCGCUUUUCUCUUUUUUUUUUUUUUUUACAAAUUUUACAUUAAAACUUAAAACUAAAACUAAAACUAAAACGUGAACAAAAUUAAUAUGACAAAUAAUUAGCAAAUAAAAGACAAAUAAAAAAGGUAACAACUAAAAUGCAGACAAUCUAAAACAAAAAUCAUGAAUUAGAUGCAACAUACAAAUUAUUUAAAAAUUUGGUGUCUACAAACUGGAUUGAGUAUUUUUCAUCAAAGUUGUAGCCCUUUGUCUUAGCUUCGAAAUGGUAUAAAUUUAACCCCAAUCCGAUAAGCGUAGCUUCGGUUGUGACCGAUACGCUAAGAGACGUCGAACCUGUUUUUUUUACUUUUUGCCUUAAACCUUAUUUCCUGUCAUUUCUGUAGCUUGGUUUUGUAAUGGAAUGACUUUUAGCCCAUUGAACGGCUAUUCUAAUGAGAUUAUUUGUGUGUGAUUUUGGGAGCUGAUUGAGGAAAAUAAUGAAGCCAUAAAUGACUGGAAAAUAGGUAAAUACAAAGGGUGUGCUGCCCAAAUUUGCACUCGAGGGCUAGGUAGAUGUACUCACGACUUGAGUAAGGGUUGAUGAUGAAACUAACUUGAAUCAUCUAAGGUAUUCAAGUCUUCUUUAUUAGAGGUAUAUAAUUUAGAAUCUAGCCGAAACUUGUACCCUUGGAAAAAUGAAAUUUACGACUAAUAGAAAUAUGUUUUCUUCGUUUCUUCGACUCAAAUGGUGAUUUCAAAGUUUUACGAGCAAGCAUAAGUUUUACAAAUAUUUUACUCAUGUCAUUUGUUUUAAAUGUACUCUUUUCACUUCCAACACUAUACUUAUAUUUUGUACUAGUAGUUAUUCGGAUUUUCUUUGGUUCACCUAAACUUUGGAUGGUUUAACUGUAAUAUUUUCUCUUGGUUAUUAUUAGAGUUCCUUGGUAAUUGAGGGUAUUAUCCAGAAGGAAACUUUGGACAUUCUUUUGCUUAAAUAGGUGAGUGUUCUUUGUACGUUAUGUUUCCAAUGACUAUGUGGAUUGUUGUGACUAUGUGACUAUUUAUGAAUGUUGGAUUAAAUGUUAAAUGUUUUCAAUGAUUUCUAAAAAUGAAUUUUGCUAGGCGAGUGUGUACUUUAUCGCACUCGAUCAAAAUGAAUGUGAAAUUUACAAUGAUUAAAUGAUUAAAUGUUUAAAUACUACUUGUACAUGAAUGUAAGCCUUUGGCUGAACUGGGCCCUUGUCCUUCGUUGCCGGUCGACUGGAACCAGAAGCGGACUCGGUCGGGCGAUUGGUGACCCUGGGUUGAUGUUUGGUAUACUCGAGUAUGACCGCGAAGUCUGGUGGAGACUGGCCAGUGUCCAGUAGGGGGAAAAUGAAAUGAAUGAAUGAAUGGCAAGAACAAUGGAGGGGUUUUCACUUACAAAUGAAAUUAUUUUUAAUGCUGGAGGAAUAAGGAAAUGGUUGGUGGAAUGAAUGAACGAAAGGCUCCAUGUGAGCAUGUAUCCUUUUAAUGAAUGUAUUAUCAUUACUUUAUAUUGUAAAUGUUUUCUGGAUUACUUGUUAUUACAUGAUUAAUGUCCUUGUUUAAUUAUUUGACUAUGUGUAUGGAACCUCACUGGGCUUUUAGCUCAUUCCGUUAGCUUUGUUUUCCUUACAGGGGAUGCGAGCGAGGGCGUGAGUCCUGUGCAGACUAGCUUGGUCUAGUUUUUUAAAAUUUUUUUUUUUGUUCUCAUGCUAGUGCUUGGAUAAGGUUGGAUGUAGUAAGAACUUAAAACUUUUGUUUUAAUUGAGAUUGUAUUUCUGUUUGAGAUGGAUAUGAAUGUAAGUAUAUGUUUCAAGUUUGGGAAUUAUUUUUCGCUUAGUCUCGAGGUUAUAUCUUAUUUCACUUGAUGAGAGCGAUCGAGUCCUGGCGAGAGUUGGGCAGGUGGUCCACCAAACCCUUUGGUUCGCCUCAGGGGAAGGUGGGGCUGUCACAGAACAUGCUAGUGUGCAAGCUUGCCUCAGUUUGUUAUCACCAUUAUAACUAGAUUAGUUCUAGCUUUUCUUGCAUAAAUAUGUUGUACAGGAGAUUGUUAAAAAAGACACCUUGCUAAAAUGGGUAAUUAUAGUUUAUUAAUAGCAUUCUUGGUAUUGAAUACACAAGGAACAAAUUAAUCAUUUCACUUUUAAUGUUCUUUAACUUUCAUCUGUUGGAGCCCAAGCCUAGUGAGUAUAGAGGUAUUUGUGUGUUUGCCUAAGUGAAUCCCAAACACUUGUGAACAAUUUAAAACAAAUAUCAUUUGUGCAUUUCAUGAAAGAACAUACAUUUGCUGCUACUGUCUGUGUUUUUCUAAGGAGAACGAAAUCAAACACUAAACCAAAGAUCUACUAACCUGGUCGUGAGUACUAUUGCAACUGAAAAUUUUAGGUAUGUUAUUUUAUAGAGAGAUAUAAGAAAGGUCAAGACCAACUAGGAAUUCAGCUAAUUUAGGUGGCAAUUUGAUAAGAAAAUUCCUUUCAUCAUUAUGAGUUCAUUAUGAAUUGCAGUAGAACCGGUCCAAGCAUGGUCCUCUGUGUAUACUACUACAAGAAAGUGGGCUGUUAGUAUUGACAAUAGUGGUCACUAUUAGGCUAAAUGUUGUUACAGAACCAAAUAAAUGACAACAAAUCAGUCGUCACCUUGUUGACACUAAAUCAUCAUCACAGUUGCCACCUACUGACAAGCAUCAAUGGUUCAAUCAGUAAACAAAAUCUUUUCCACUAUAGUUUCUCUAAAUACCAGCUAAACCACUAGUUUUUUUAACUGCAUCCACCACAAAAAGUUCAUCAAAACCAAUUUUCAUCAUAAAUUUAUUCAUAAAAGGUUUUUUAUUUUUAGUUUUAAGAAAGAAACACAAAUUUUGGAGGGUGGAGUCUCAAUACCUCUUUAAUUUGAGGAUUGUCAAAGUGCUCCCUACUCCUAAUAAUUUCAUACCAGAGCUCUUAUUGGAAACAAUAAGACUUUACAAUAGUCUCCUACUCUUAGGAGUUUUUCUUGGGUGUGAAGGAAGUUGCUUCAGAUGAGUUAUGCUAGGCAAUAUUUGACCACAAUUGUAAGGCAUGGCUUUUUUUUUUUUUACCAUGUUUUGGUAUUAUAAUUAGCAUCCAAAGCAUGGUUUGCUACUCAUUUUUUGAGGCAUAUCCCAAUUCAAAUUCUAAAAAAAAAAGACACUAAGAGAAUGUCAUCUUAAAUUGUUAAAGCUAAGGAUUUGAUUUGAUCUACAUGAAGAAGGAGGAACCAUAACUAUAUGAGUUAAUAAUAUUUCUUAUAAAAUCUCUCAAGCCAAACCUUAAGAUAAAACAUAAGAUAAGAUCAAAAUCUAAUCACAAUGGAGUUGAUCAAAUGGAAAAUUGAGUUGUGAGUAAUCAAAUGAUUUUACUUUUAGCAUGCCUAUAUAGUUGAUUGUAAAUAAAACUUGAGGUAUGAUAAGUAGCAAAUUUGCAUCAUAUUUUGUGAUAGUUUAUAUGAACUUUUAAACUCUUUUACUUGUUAGUAUAACUGUUUUUGUAGGAAAAUGGUCGAAACUUGAAUGUGCAACAUGGUUGUGAAAACAAGAAAAGAAGCAAGAAAUUGUUGCAAAAUAGGGUAGCAGGAACUGGCCAUGGUUGCUCAACUGGUUCCUGAGCCGAUUGCUGGACAAAAUGUUUCAAAUGCUAUCACAAAAUUUUCAAUUCAUAACCGGCCUUGUAGCUGUCCGAGCUUCCUCCAAGGGUUAGCCAGCCACAAUUUUUGACGAAGAAAAUGCAACUUGCUCAACUUGUUUCUUGAAGAAGUUCUCUUUUCAUGCACUUCAAGGAUUGACAAGACAUAAUUGUGGUUGGGAAGAGAGUACAAUUAUCAUCAAAAAACACCUUUUGUCACCUCAAUUUUCUUGGUCUUGCUGAAGCCACAAAAAUUGACUUUUGGCCUUCAUGAUCACAUGGAGUAAUCUUUUGUCUUUGAAAUAGCUAUAAAAAGAUGAAAUGAUACAAACUCCGUCGGCGUGACAAAACUCGCUAAUAGCAAGCCCGGAUCUUUGGUGAUUGUUAUAAGUUUGAUAGCAAAAUUCCUAUACGAACCCUUCUACUCGCUGUAGUUAUGAACAUUGCUAUGAUCUUGAGCCACAACCAAACGAAUCAACGAACCCUAGGAAGGCAGUUGGUGCCACAAUCAAGGGUCAUUUCUUGAUUGAUAAGCCAGAACGCAUACUCAAAAAAAUUCUAAAGUGCUCAAGGGUGCUCGAAGAGCCAAAAGAGCAUUUUUUUCCAAGUUAUUUGCGGGAAAAUAUGUCGUGUAUAUUAUUGAAAAAACAAAGUUUUUUUAUAAGUCUUUUACAUAGAGAAAUCCUAAGUAAACUUGGACUAACAACAACCAAUGAAUCAGACCUCAAAUUGGCCCCAUAAGAUGUGGAUCCGAGCAUGACUAUUGCUGGUCCAUUUCUUAUUUUAUUCCUAAUGGAUCCAACAGUAAAAUAAUAAUACAAAAAGAAACGACAUUAACUAAAUCAACUUGGCCCUUCAACUUCCAACUCGUGUGCGACUUGAAUAAGGUUUAAUAAUGAUAAAUUCUCUUCAUUUGCCUCUUUGAACGCACUUGACAUCCCAAUGUUGUCUUGAGCUAUUCGAACCAUAGCUUGAAGUGACUCGUUGAGUUUCUUGCCACGAGCAUGCGUCAUUGGACCUAAUGGAAUUGUCAUUGGAUCGACUUGAACACCUUAAACAUCUUCGACAGCAUGCACGACUCCAUCAUUCCCCUCUUGUUGAGAAGAAUUUGCCCUCAAAUCGAUCUCUUCACCUGCAAGAGAAGGACUCAAGUCAAAUACGUUAAACAUAGCACUAGCACCGUACUC